GAGCAACUUACUUACACUCCUAUCCUCAGUGUCAUGAAUUCUAUGCUCUGCUACCCAGAUCCCUAUUUUGGGACUGAAAUUUUUUUCUCCCAGCAGCUGAAAGGCUGUCGAGCAACUGAUCUCAGCUGCUAGUCCUUUCCUAGGUUUAUACUCAUCUAAAGAGAGCUGCCUUGCCGAAGUCUACACCCUUCUUCAGAGGUGGACGACCAAAGAAGAAUGAGCCAAAAAUGUCUGGUAGGUCACUUUGCAUUCUAAAACUCACAUGUUUCAUACCAGGGAGUAAUAUAAUAUGAUCCACAUAUAGGGUGAUUAAAUACUACCAACACUGGAUAGAGCCCAAAGCAUGGAAAAUCCAGGCUAAUGUGCAAAUGUCUCUUGGGUCAGAUGACUGUGUUAUUAGAUCUAUCUGUAGGGCAAAAGGAUGCUAUGUGACAUUUCUGGAAAGCACCAAAGGGAAAAUCACAAUACACUCCCAAUAUUUUGGAGCAACGCUAUGCCAUCUUCAGGAGAAUAUUAUAUACCAACUAAAAAAGAAGCUGAAACAUGAUUCACAGAUGUGUUGGCUCAGGAUGGUCCUCACUGCAGAUAGUUUUGAAAGAUAAGAGGGAGGAGAAAUCCUCAGAAGAGUUUUGGGUGGUGCAUCAGCUAUUUGCCAGUGUAGAAAGGGAAGUGUCCUUUGGUAAGAAUGUAUAGCAACUCAUGUGCGGUGGUGAGAAGCUAAGACAUUUGAUCAGGGACAAGAUGGAAUACUUGGGAAAAGCAGGUCAAAGAACCUAUGUGGACACAAGUUUCAAUAUUGUUGUUAUUGUGUGCUAAUGCCCAUCAGAGAGCAUCCAGUAAGGAAGCAUUACUAAAUAACACAGAAUUACCUGGACAGAUGAUAUGUGCCAGCCUGCCUUUAGCCACCCCAGUGCUGACACAUGAGGACGAUUGGGAAGCCCUAGUGACAAUAAUGGAGGCUGACAAAAGGGUCCCGACACGAGCCCAACAAAAGGGGGUCCUGCUCAUUAAGCCCAAUUUAUCUGCUUCUGAUGAAUGUCCAGUGUGCCAGCAACAGGUUGACUGUUGGCUUCCAAUAGAGGACCAUCCCUCAAGGAGGAGAACCAGAUAGUUGGCCCUGACUACAGUGUACCUCUUCCACUCUGAGAUGGCAAUUUAUACUCACAGGAAUUGUCAUAUUCUCAACAUGGGCUCCCUUUCCCUGCCAGCAGGGCUUUAGUGAGCACCAUGAUGCAAGGUCUUGAAAAAUUUUUGACUCAACAGUCAUGAACCCAUAUGACGUCAGACCGAAGGACCCACUUUGUAAUGGGAAAGUCAUGGAAUGGAUGUAUGGUUCCUAACACGUAGUGCACUACCCAGAAGCAGCUGACCUAAUAGAGUGAUAGAAUAGCCUAAUGAAUGUGUGGCUAACACACAAGAAGCAUGCUCCUCCAGACUAAGGAUACUCAUUAAAUUAGUGACCAUAGUAUGGUGCUGUGUCCUCCAACAGGUAAAGUUCUUAAGUCUUGGAAUCUACACAUGGAUGAAGUAGCCUCCUAUACCAUCACUCCCAGUAACCCACUUGUGGGUUUUUUUUUCCCUGAAACUCUGAGCUCUGUGUAUAUUAGAAGUCCUGAUUCCCAAAGAGAAAAUGCUGCCACAGAAAAGGUCACAGCAAUGAUAUCAAACUAUAGCUAGAAACCAGAGAGUGUAGACUUUGCUUGCUAAAAAAAGAACAAAUAAUAAGAAUCAUCAUCUUCACAGGGUGAGGCUGGGGGAGACAACUGGCCCUGAUAAUCAUGAGGAGGUGUGGCUACUGUUGCAUACUCUGGGUAGGGAGGGUACCUUUAGCAUCCAUGGGAUCCACUUUGGCAUCCUUAGGACUCACUUGUCCAAGUGUGAUGGUAAAUGGACAAAUGAAGAAACUGCAGCCUGAAAAAGCCUUGGAAACCAGAAAUGUAGACUCUUUAGGGAUGAAUAUCUGUGUAGUCUCACCUGAUAAGAUGCCUAGACCAAGAGAGGUUGUAGAAGGGUGAGAAGAAUCUAGAGUGAACAGUGGAGAAGGGAGAUAAUAAGCAUCAGUUGCAGCCUUGUAAACAGCUAUAGUAACAUAGGAUAUUGUUUAUUCCAUUAACCUUCCUCUUGUCAGUUUCUCCCAGGAAAAGAAAUCCAGCAGAAUCCUGAAGGUAUAAAUUGUAGACCUUAUAUGAAGCAAGUGAAUCCUAGCAAAGCAAUGCUACUCCGUAGCAACUGGAUUCCUUUUAAGGCUAAACGAUUAAAUUCCCUAGCUCCUGAGAAGGUUGCCAACUGAAAGAUUUCAGCUGUGAGCUCUCUCCAAGAAUAACCCUCAGCUGCAAAGAGACUCUUUACUUGCUUGAGGUCCUAUCACUUCUUGCAAGGGCAGCCAACAUCCAAUGACUAUUCAAUGCAAUGACAGAAGGACUCAAACCCUUGUGCCAACUGAAGAUACCUCUGCAUGGUCCUUCCAGCUUUGGAAGUCCCCUGGUGUCAACUGAGGCUAUGCUACCACCUAACUUCUUUUGUCCCUUCAAUACAGUUAAGGGCCCUAAGAGCAUUCCUUAAUACACUUCCUAUUUGGCAUGGAAUUGGUUUCAUACCAAUCAGAGACAGUAAUAUCUGACACUCAAUACACAUUUGUAAAUGUGGAUGAUCACAUUUAUAUCUAGUUUGUGAAGGUUGUAUAACUUCAUGGUUAUAAAGUAGCACACCCAGCCCUCAAUAAAAAUUAUUCCCCCUCUCUGCUUUGUUUUGUUAUUGAAUACAACUAAACUGACACAAAAGUCAUGUUAGCAGUUUUCCAUGCUAACCAGACCUUUUCCAAAGGUAGAAGAGUAGAAAAAUCUUGGCACUAUGGAAUCCCAUCUAAGGGCUCCUUUGGGACCUCAUUCAUGAAGUUUCUUUUUAAUAGACUUAUUUGAGCUUGCUCAGCCGACUUAAACUAUUUAGUCCAAUUAUUAUGAGAUUUACCUUCUUUUUCUUUGUCCUUUCUUACUAAGACUUUAUUAUUGUUAUUUAUAUUUGUAGUCUGAAUUACAUGGAUGCAAUUCUUCAUAUAUGUAAAGUAACAUAUUUUUUAAAAAAAUGAAAUUACUUUUUUUCCCCCACAAAGCAACUCCUGGGAAAAGGAUACAAACCCAAAACACAAUGUGAACUUGGUUUUUGCUUGAUUAAAAUUGAGGUGUUGAUAUCUGAAAGUAUAAAAGUUAUUCUGAUUUCCUUUGGUUUAUUAUCAGAUUAUAUUUAUAAUAUAAAUGGUUCUGAAUAUAUUUAACGCCAAUGUAUUAUUUAAAAUAUUAGUAACAUAACAAUAAGGGUUACUUUAUGAUACAUUUUAAAUUCGUCAUGCACUUUUGACUGCACCCUCUCUGUGAAAGCAAUUUGGUUCCUUUGAAAAUAAAUUUUCUAAGAAAUUUCCUGUGCACUUAGGAAGGUCAGCUCAAGCUAAAGGUCAGUAUUUGGGGGUUUUAGUCCAAAUGUUCCUAACCCCACUUGCUAUAAUAUGUUCCAACCCAAGAUUGAGGUCAACACACAGUUUAUAAAAAUAGCAAGAGAUAUUCAAUUUUCCACUUGAUAGAUGAAAAAAUACAUCAAGUUGAGGAAUAAGUCAUAGUCUAUUAUGGAGAAGCCAGAUUAAUUUCUUCAAAUAAAUCAAGAAGUUGUUGCCAGAAAUUUAAAACAAAACAAAACAAACACAAACAAAAAAAACACACACACACAAAGAAGGACACAGGAUGACAGCAUAAUAAUGUGGAAAAGAAUACAGGAUAUGAAGCAUAGAAGGCUUGGCUUUAAGCAUGUCUGCUCUGUGCUAUGCUAACUUUGCUCUUAAUAAAUCUUUUAAUUCAAGACACCCCUAUUAAAACCUAAAAUUAUGCUACUGUGUCAAAAAACUAGCUCUCUGCUCAUGAGCCAAUCACUGAAAUAUUCCUUAGCUAUAAAAUUAAAAAAAUUAAUAAAUACUUCUAGCCCAGUGUUUUAGAAAUCUAAUAUUUAUGUUUUUUUUAACUUACAAGUUUGACUGAAAGAUUAGAUAAGUAAUGAAUGUAGAGUGAUUUAUAUUAUACUUAUGUUAACUAACUUGAAUUUAGAUAAAGAAAUUAAAAAGUUUUUUGAUAAACAUAUAGACUGUUCUUCCUUCUACAAAUAAACAGAAUUAAAUAUAGCAGUAAAAGCACAGUAAUUCAACUGUAUACAAAAUAGCUGCUAUAUAAAAUAUCAAUUAGUGUUCUUAAAAACAAUACAUGGUAAUAUAAAAUGUAACUGCCAUAUAAGAAACAAAAAUUUAAAAAGUUAAAUAGAUCAUACUUAUAGUGUCUUUGCUAUAAGAACAAAGGGGGCACUUGUUCACAGGAAGUUGACUCCAACAAAACAAAACAAAACAAAACAAAACAAAACAAAACCUUCCCUGUACUUGGAGGGAAAGUCCACUUGAAAGAAAUAAGCCUCAGAGACUCUUCCCAGUAAUUUCAAUACUGAGAGUAGAGUCACUUCAAAAUUUUGAAGCUAGCAAGGUUCUAGCUUCUAGAAACUCACUACGUGCCCUAUUUGUUUUGUUCAUCUUGUUCAUUGCAAUCUAAAAUGAAUGAUUAAAAAAAACCCACUUGGGGGUCACGUGGGUGGAUCAGUUGGUUAUGCAUUCCCUACUCAUGCUUUAGGCUCAAGUCAUGAUCUCCUAGUUCUUAAAUUUGAACCAGCCUGCCUGGGAUUCUCUCUCUCCCUCUCUCUCCGACCCUCCCCUGCUUGCUGUCUCCUCUCUCUCUCUAAUAAACAUUAAAAAUUAAAAAAAAAAACACUUAUAUGCCGUUUUAUAAGGUCAACUUUGCCUCAUGGAGACUGUCCUUAAAGAUAGAGGUUUUCCCCACUUUCUCCAUCUCAUACAUAUUCCUCAGAAACCCCUAUGCAAGUUUUUUAAUAAGAAUCCCAAACUUCUCAGUAACCAUUUAAAAACUGGUGUAGUUUCAUUUAUUUUCUUAAUAGCUAAUAUGAAUCUCAGAUUUAUUUGAGAAUGCUCACCAAAACUGAUUUACACUAACAAAUUUUUCUCAAGGAAAAGACUCCAAGUGAAGAAAGUAGGAAUUCAGAUCAGCGAUUUUAUAAUUGCUUAUGACUUGCAGCUUCCCAUAAUUUUUAUCAAUAUUGUUGGUCACCAUUGUCUUUUGAUGGACUUUGCUUGCAUCCUGUUCUGUUUUCCUCUAUAAAGAGACAAAGAGAAUUGGUAAAUCCAUAUGUGGAUGUUGUUAGUGACUUCCUUGUAGGAGUAAGUAUCUCAAAAGAGAAAAAGAUAAGGGCAGAUUUAACCUCAAAACAAUGUCUGAUGAUGACGUGGUGGAAUCUCUCACUCUCCUCAUUUUCUGCCAUCCCAGCAGCCAGGCAGGCAAUUGCUAAAGGCUGACCAGGUUUUCAAAAGAAGAAACGAGCAGGAUUCAAAUUAAAAGGACAUAAUUCUACUGUCACAACACCCAGAUGGAAUGCUUUGCUGAGUGUCAAAUUUAUUGAUGACCCAAUCUUAAUAACAUUUUCUUCUCUUAUUCUUCUAAAUUCAGAAGAAGUUUAGCUUUAGAAGGAAGGCAAUAUAUGUCCAUGAAAAAUGAAUUAUAAUAAAGUGAACACAUAUUUUCAAAUGUUAAGUCUUAAACCUAAUAAAUUAAAAAUGUCUUCUGUCCAAUAUUAGUUGAUGAUUUUUUAGCAACCUAAGAUGGCAAGGUUUAUAUCUCUUAAUUUCCUGUAACUUGUCAUCUUUUUUAUAAUUUUCAAAAUCCUACACCCUAGAAAUGUCAGAAAUCAAUCAUGUAAAUAAUUUCUCCUGAUUAUGAAAUAUUAUCCCUGCAGAAGUUGUGAGGGCUCCAGAGGUGUUACAUUCUGAAUAAUAUACAAUAGAGAUGAAUCAUCUUUCAUAACUGUAAAUAAUUUCAGCAUCACUUGUAAUACAGGGGAAAUAAAGAUACAGAGUUUUAUCUCUAUCAGUAUUCUCCAUAAUAUUAAUCCUUUAGAGUUUCAAGUCUAGCAGGAGACAAAGACGGAGGUUCACAAAAUGCAUCAAAUUCAAAACUCCCAUAUCAAGUUAGGAGUAACCAAAAGCAACUCUUGCUAGAGUGACUUAGAUGGAGACACAGGGACUGGCCUCUGAAGGAAAGGUGGUAAAGAAAUAAUGGCAUUCCCUUGGGGAUAGCAGAAAAUAAAUCCUCCUUUAUAAUUUAUAAUAAAUUCUGGCUCUCAAGUGGGUUUGGGCUAGGAUUCAUAAUUCACCUCCACCAAAAACAAAAAACAAAAACAAAACAAUGAAAGUUCAGAAUUCAAUUUAAAAUUGUUCUAGGUUGGUAAUGCAAAGCAUAGUGCCUGUAACACAAGAAGGCAAAUAUUCUAGACUAGAGAAAUCCAUUUUAAAUUAUGCUUUGUAAACAUGAGUUUAAAAUAAAAUCGUGAAGCCUAUGUAGAAACAAAUCAACACAAGUGAGAAAAGGAAAAAAAAAGAAACCACACACUGCAAGACUGCACAUUGGAAUAAAUGAGUAAAAAUAUGAAAUAUUUUUAGAAUGCUUAAGGAAAUAAAAGUGGGUAAUCAAAGAACAAUAAUGAGAUAAGAAACUGUAAAACUGCCUGUGUAUAUUCAAAACUAAAAGGAAAUAACUUUGAAAACCUCCAAAAUACAAUAAUAUGAUUAUUGACAAAAGGAAAUUUAUGGACAAAUUAAGCAGUAGUUUAGGUAUAGCUAAAAAAUAAAUGGGAGAAGUAGAAGAUACACUUCUGAAGAAGAUAACAGGACGCAACAUAGAAAGAUGAUGUGAAAAUAGGGACGAGGGCACAAACAGGCAUGACAAAUAGAGAAAGAAAAUCUAAUAGAAAUAGAGGACAUAUUUUCAAGAGAUAAUGCCUUAGAAUGUUAGAAAGUUGGAGGAAAAAAUCCCCCGCUAAUUGUUGGUUCCAGGAAGACUAAAAACCCCAAAUGAGAUAAAUAGAAAGAAAUCAGUACUCAGAGACAUUACAGGGGAUGUAAAACACAAAACACCAGGGAGAUUCCCUGUAAUAAAUCAAAGGAAAGCAGCGUACCAACACAGAAUGAUAUUUAGGCAGACAGCUCAAUCUCAACAAGAAAAGUGAACUAUUAAAAUAGCCGCAUAACAUCUUCAGUUGCUUAAAUAAAAAUAAUGGUCAGGUUAAUAUACACACCUAAACGAGUGAUCUUUCAGUAUCAAGGGGAACUUAAAAAUAUUUUAAUAUAAGGCCAAAACACUUUUUUUUAUUUUUUUUUUAAUACUUAUUUAGUUUUUGAGACAGAGAGAGACAGAGCAUGAACGGGGGAGGGUCAGAGAGAGAGGGAGACACAGAAUCUGAAGCAGGCUCCAUCCAGGCUCUGAGCUGUCGGCACAGAGCCCGACGCAGGGCUCGAACUCAUGGACCGUGAGAUCAUGACCGAGCCGAAGUCGGACGCUCAACCGACUGAGCCACCCAGGCGCCCCAAGGCCAAAAUAUUUCUAAGAGGAACUUAUAAAUGACAGAUUUCAGAAAGAAGGAAAGAUGAGCUAGUAUGAAAUGUGGCAAAAAAAAUAAGGAAUAAUUGGUCAAGAAAGUGAUCAACAUGUGUGUAAAUCUAAACAGACACUGACUGUACCAAAUAAUGAUGAGAAUGGAAUAGCUGUAUUUAUACCAUAUGAUAUAACCUUUGAGAAUUAUUAGAAAUAGGAGGGGAACUCAUCAUUGCUAUUCUAAGGUUUUUGUUGUUGUUGUUGUUUUUAAAGUAAUCUCUACACCCAACAUGGGGCAUGAACUCACAACCCAGAAAUCAAGAGUCAUAUUCUCUACUGACUGGGCCACCCAGGCACCCCAGGAGGGUAAUUAAUUGGCAGUCACAUUAUCAGGAACAUAUAGCAAAUUGGAAAUUUCAUGCACUUAAUGGCAUAACUCCAAAAUGAGAAAAAAAAUCACCACCAAAAGGGGAGACUUUAAUAAAUAGCUUACAGUAACUGCAGACCAACUACAUAAAAAUUUGUCAAUAAAGAAAUGGAUUUUUUGAGGAACAUUUGUGGGAAUACGAAGCACUGUGUCCCCAAAUUGGAGAAUACACAGUCCUUUCAUGUACCUAUUAAGAAGCAAAAACAAGGGGCAUCUGGGUGGCUCAGUCGGUUAAGACUCCGACUCUUGAUUUCGGCUCAGGUCAUGAUUCCAGGAUCGUGGGAUCAAGCUCCACAUCAGGCUCCAAACUGAGUAUGGAGUCUGUUUGAGAUUCUCUCUCUCUUCCUCUUUCUCUUCCCUCACUUGCAUGCACUCGCUCUCUCUCUCAAAAUAAAUAACACAAUUUAAAAAAAUAAAAUAAAAAUUAAAAAAAUCGCAAAAACAAGAAGGAGGUCAUACCAUUCACACAUUGGUAAUGCCAAAUAAUUAGUUUCAUACAAGAAAUAUCUGCUGACAAAAAUGAAAUGAAGCAAAAAUAAAAUUAAAUACCAAAAAUAUAAAAAUAAAAACCACAAGAGUUUUACCAAAAGUGCAAAUUUAAUCUCAUUGGUAAAAGAAAAAAAAAUACCGGAAAUUCAAAAAUAUCAAAUUAGGGGUGCCUGAGUAGCUCACUUGGUUAAGCAUCCGACUUCAGCUCAGGUCAUGAUCUUGCCGUUCAUGAGUUCAAGCCCCACAUUGGGCUCUGUGCAGGCAGCUCAGAGCCUGGAGCCUGCUUCAGAUUCUGUGUCUCCCUCUUGCACUCUGUCUCUCUCUCUCUCUCUGUCUUCAAAAAUAAAUAAACAUUAAAAAUAUUUAAAUUCAAAAAUACCAAAUUAAUUAUUCCUUGAGUUGAAUAACAUUACAAUGCUACUACAAAAUCAAUGAGUUAAAUGUCUAAGUUUUAAAAAGUAAGCAAGAGUGGGGCGCCUGGGUGGCGCAGUCAGUUAAGCGUCCGACUUCAGCCAGGUCACGAUCUCGCGGUCCGUGAGUUCGAGCCCCGCGUCAGGCUCUGGGCUGAUGGCUCAGAGCCUGGAGACUGCUUCAAAUUCUGUGUCUCCCUCUCUCUCUGCCCCUCCCCUGUUCAUGCUCUGUCUCUCUCUGUCCCAAAAAUAAAUAAACGUUGGAAAAAAAAAAAAAAAGUAAGCAAGAACAGGAAAAAAAAUAACCUCACAUGAAAGGAGAGGAAAUAAUUAAUAAAAAUAAACCAAAAAUUAAUGAUAUUAAAACAUAUCUAGACAAUGAAUGAUACCCUAAAUUAGCUUGUUGAGGAGCAUAAUAAAACUGACAAAAUUACUUGGCGAGACUGAUCCCAGCUGAGAGAGAGAGAGAGAAAUGAAACCAAUAAAAUCAAAAUGAAUUACACACAAAGCAGGGUGGAUUAACAAGUAACUGCAUAUUUGGACAAUAUCAUAGCAAUAAAUGCUAACAAUUGUGUGAAGUGGGUAAAUUGUAGAAAAAAAUGUAAAAGCAGCUAAAAAUUUCAAAAGAAACUUAACAAAAGGAUAAUUUCAACAACCCUUUCCCAAUUAAAAUAUGUAGUAGCUUGUUAGAUAUUUUCGCACAAAGGAAGGCAUCAGGCCAAGGCAGAUGGCCCACCCAACGUUUAUGAACCAGGUGAUUGUAAUCUUACAAAAACUUUUCCAGACAAUCAAAAAGAGGAAAAGUAGUUUAUGCCUCAUAUACCAUGAUAACAAACCCAGAAAAUUAUGAUCUGAGAAAGAAAAGUAUAGGUUUAUACUCCUCCUCAACAGAAAGGCAAAAAUCCAAAACAAAUAUUAAAAAAAAAACCCACAAAAAACUCAAUUCCAGCAAAAUACAAAUUGUGUUUACCUAGAAAUGCAAAGGUAGUUCCGUUUCAGAAAAGCCACUUAUAUAAUUUGCUACGUUACCUAGCCAAUGCAAGAUAUGGGCAUGAUAUGAGGUGCGAGGAGGCGGGACGGGCAUCAGCAUUUGGGGUGUUGCUCCACCUAAGGCCACAGAUGCCCACGCGUGGCUCUCUCCUGCAGCCACUGUCUCCUGGGUUUCUGUUAGCAGUUCACUCCCCUUGUUCCCUCCCUUCAGGCCCGGGCUGAGGAACAACUUCCUGAAGGUUCUUGGACCCUGGCCAUUUGUCCUUCUCUUUUCUCUACCUACAGCUUACGAAGUAUUUGUUGCGGUGCUUAGGUGGCUCAGUCGGUUGAGCAUCAGACAUUGGCUCAGGUCAUGAUCUCAUAGUCCGUGAGUUCGAGCCCCACAUCGGGCUCUGUGCUGACAGCAUGGAGCCUGGAGCUUUUUCAGAUUCUGUGUCUCCCUCUCUCUCUGCCCUUCCCCUGCUCUCUCUCUCAAAAAUAGAAAACAAACACUAAAAAAAAAUUAAAAAGUAUUUGUUUAUUAAGUUAAUAAUAUUAAGUUACUGUUCAUUAUAUUAUUUUUCAGUUACUAUUAUUGAAUGAUAACAUCUGCUUCCUGCUGCUACUUUGACAUAACUGUUUUCAAAAACUGUUUGGCAUUAUUCAAAAAAAUUAAGAUGAUUAUUCCCAUAGAUGUCCCAAUUCAUUCCUGGGUAUCAUCUGGGCACAUUAGUACCAUGGAUAGGUUACAUGUGUGCCUGAGGACUUCUCCACUUCAGCCCUCGAGGGGCAAGGGCAGGGCUGGCAGAGGGCAGCUACAUCCCAUGCACUAGUCAUCUCCUCCUGUGAGCAGAUCCAACUGUUUAUUCCAUUAUAAGAGAUGAAUAUGAGUGUUUUAUUACGUGGACAAUUUGAGGAAUUUCUUCCUUAGAGAACCCUUUCACAUGUGGCAACAGGAGAUUGAUACAGGAAUGUUCACCGCAGCCUUAUUCAUAAUGGCAACAAAUUUCAAAUAACAUGAAUGAAUGUCAUAUAAUCUGAUACGUUACAGCAAUAAUAAUGAACGAUAUAGAGAAUGGGCCUAUGUAGCAUGUUACAUGAACCAAUGUGGAUCAAUCUUUAGUCAUGUUGAGCAAAAAAAAAAAAAAAAAAAGAUGUAAAAAUAAAAUAUAUACAGUGAUUCCAUAGUUAUACAAUUCAAACACAGGUAAUACUCACCAAUGUUUUGUUAAAAUACACAUAAAAGUGGAGACGUUAUAAAGAAAGGCCAAGGAAUAAUGGGUACACAGUUCAGGAAGAGGACAGUGAUUACCACUAGGUCAAAACAGAAAUAUCUAGCAGAAGCGGAGAGAUGACCUUGGGUUAUUGUACUGUUCUAGAUUUUAAGCUGGGCGGUGGGUGCAUGUGUGUUCAUUUUAUUCCUUACCUCAGCAUUAGUUUGAAGACUCUUGUUUUCAUACGUUCACCUUACUUUAAAGCAUAUGUGUGUUUUGAAAAUAAAAACAUUCUACUAAGAUCUGCAUGGAUGCUACCUUUGAGGUAUUCAGUAUAUGUAGCUUAGAAAUAAAAAUAAUAAUAUAGAUAAUUUUUAUAGAUACUUUGUUUUGAGCAAAAAUAACCCUAGAGGGACAUAAAAUUCUGGACAAAGUACUAAAAUCAUACACUGGUUCAUGUUUUAUCCUUUGCACCUUCUAGUACCAUUCACAAUAUAAUUGGCAUAAUUAAUGAACAGUGUGAUAGGAGAAGCAGUUCCAGCAGUAAAAGGAAAUUGUUUCGUGCACUCCUGAAAGCUGUGUAAAGGUACUGCUUGCAGAAAGGAGAGGAGAGGAUGAUUGACCUCUGGCCUUACCUAAUGUUUGCACUUGAUUGCUUUAUAAAAACUAUGCCCUUGAGAAAGGCUUAAGGUAGUCAUAAAAUGGUAACCAAGGCCAAGGAAUUCUAAAAUUAAAACAUAAUCCAUUCCAGAAGGAUAAUUAUAUUAGUGACAAACCACAGCUGUAUAAAUCAGUACUGGAAGUGGCUUCCAAAGACUGAUUAAAAGAAAUCCUGCCCACAAGGACAUUCUACUGCUUCGAAACAGUACUGGCAGAGGUUUCUUAUCUCUGCCAUUGAAGAUAACAAUUUGCUUCAUCUUAAGGUGAGGAAGUGCUCAUCUAGCCAAUAUUUGUUCCUUGGAGAGGGGGGACUUGGAAAUACAUACACAGAAAGACAAUGGCAGUAACAGGAUGGAUGGGCAGGAAGGAAGGAAGGAAGGAAGGAAGGAAGGAAGGAAGGAAGGAAGGAAGGAAGGAAGGAAGGAAAUUAUGCACUCAUCUAGGUUGUUAAACUUCAACUGAUACAUGUUUUCUGAGGUAAAAUUGAAUCAUUGACUCCCUCUUUCCCCAAUCUUAUGGAACUUCAAUGUUUAAGAAUCCAUUAUUAUCAAUGAAUAUCAUUCUUAUCAAUGCUUCUUUCUUUUGAAAAAUAAUGGCUCCUGUUAUUGCCAUUCUUUUAUCUUGUGUCUCUUUGUCAUAGGACUUAACAACUUAUUUAACCUCUCUUUUAAAAGAAUUUUAUGGUGGAAAGAACUGGAAAUCCUUCCAUCACUCUCAAAUACAACUUGUGGGCAGACCGAAAGGAAUGCAAAGGGAGAUACUAUUAUAAAGAUAUACGUUACAUGUGAUUCAAUGAAUAUUUAAAGGUACUCAGACAAGCUAAGUGUCUGUAGACGUAUAAAUGGAUAAAGAAAAUGUGCUACAUCAGUUGACCCUUGAACAAGUGGGGGUUGGGGCACUGGCCCCCACACAAUGAAAAAUCUGAAUGUGACUUUUUACCCCUAAAAACCUUAACUAUUAAUAGCCUACUAUAGACCAGAAGCCUUACCAAUAACAUAGUCAAUGUGUUUUGUAUGUUAUACGAACUAUAUACUGUACUCUUACAAUAAGUAAGCUAGAGAAAAAAAUAUUAAGAAAAUCAUAAAGAGGAGAAAAUAUGGUUACUGAACUACACCUGAGUAGGGGCACCUGGGCAACUCAGUCAGCUGAGCAUCUGACUCUUGAUUUCGGCUCAGGUCAUGAUCUCAGGGUUCAUGGGUUUGAGCCCCACAUAGGGCUCCUUACACUGACAGUGGAAGGCCAGCUUGGGAUCCUCUCGCUCUCUUUCCCUCUUUCUCUACCUCUCUCCGGCUCAUGAGCUCCCUGUCUCUCUCUCUCUCUCUCUCUCUCUUUCUCAAAAUAAAUAAAUAAGCUUCAGGAAAAAACACCUGAAUGUAAGUUGCACUGCACUACCACGUGCACUGUUUAAAAUCAGGUGGUUCAAGGGCCAACUAUAAAUAUGAUCGAAUAUUAUUCAGCCUUAAAAAAAAUAAGGAAAUCUUGUCAUUUGCAACAAUAUGGAUGGACUUUGGGGACAUUAUGCUAGGUGAAAUAAGCCAGACAGAGAAAGACAAACACCACAUGGUACCACUUAAAUGUGGAAUCUUGAAAAAACAAAAAACAAAAAACAAACAAACAAAAAAACCAAUCAAACAAACCAACAAACAAACUCAUAGAAAAGUGACUAUCAGGGGCUGGGGAAAGUAAGAGGCUGGUAAAAGGAUACAAACUUUCAGUUAAAAGAUAAGGUCUGAAGAUAUUAUAACAUAGUGACUAUAGUUGAUAACACUGCAGUAUAUAAUUAAAAUUAGCCAAGAGAGUAGAACUUAAAAAUUCUCACCAAUCAAUUAAUCUGUAGGUGAUGGAUAUAUUAAUUAAUUCAAUGAGGGCAAGUCUUUCACAACGUAUACAUAUAUGAAAUCAUAACAUUGUAUACUUUAAAUACCUUACAAAUUUAUUUGUCAAUUUUACAUCAUUAUUUAAAGAAAAAUAAAAUAAACAACAACAGCAAAAAUAGAAAUUCUCAGGGUGGUAAGAAAUCAGGUAUGUCCUGGGACAUAUACACUAACUAAGAGUUAAUGGAUCUUAAUUCUAAGUACUCUACUUCACAUGCAACUCAAUUUCUUUCCAUGUUUGUUAACUGAUUCUAAUGACCAAUGGACUCUCUCUGCAACCCAAUUCCAAAAUUUUAGGAGAAAAUUCUGACUGAUUCGGUGUGAUCAUAGGAAUAUGGGGCCAUUCACACCUACCUGAGCUCUGGAUAUUUGAAUCUAUACGUGGAAGGAAAUUUAUCAACAUAGUAGGGGGAGAACUCACGGAAUUGGAAACCCACGGCAAGAUUUUGGGUUAGUACUAAACAAUGACCUUAGAGCAUACAGCCCUGCUCAGAAAAUGUGUUUCUCUCACUCACAUAUUAGAAUUAUGUACUCAAUGUACAUUUAUUACUUCCUGCCUUCGGUGGAAGGAAUUGGAGUAAGAAGUUUUCAUUUAUGUUCUAAAUCAUACUUUCCCAUUUACUUGAUAUCUAGAUACUGGGCUCCAUUGAUGGAAGGGUGAUAUUGUUUCUUUCUGUCAUUCUAAUACUCAGGAGGCAUGAGACUCCCUUAUGUAAUUUUAGGAUAUAAAAGGCAUUUUUACUUUAAUUUUUUUUAAGUUUAUUUAUUUAUUUUGAGACAGAGAGAAUGCAUGAGUGCAUGAGUUGGGGAGGGGCAGAGAGAGAAGGAGAGGGAGAAUCCCAAGCAAGCUCUGUGCUGUCAGUGCAGAUCCUGACAUGUGGCUCGAACUCACAAACCAUGAGAUCAUGACCUGAGCUGAAGUCGAGAGUUGGCUGCUUAACAGACUGAUCCACCUAGGCACCUCUACAUGAUGCGCUUUUAAAAUUAUAAAGCAAGGGGAGCCUGGGUGGCUCAGUUGGUUAAGCUACCAACUUUGGCUCUGGUCAUGAUCUCACAGUUUGUGAGUUUGAGCAUUGGGCUCUGUGUGGACAGCUCGGAGCCUGGAGCCUCCUUUGAAUUCCAUGUCUCCUUCUCUCUCUGCCCCUUCUCUACUCGUGUUCUGUCUCCAUCUCUCUCUCUCUCUGUCUCUCUCAAAAAUAAAUAAACAUUAAAAAAAGUAAAUACAUACAAUUGUAAAGUAAUAUUCAAGGUUAGGAGUUACUAUCAUUCAUAACAGGUGCUACAGAAAAUACAGAAUAUAUUCUUUAAAAUAUAGAAAUCAAACUCUCUGACCUUUAGGAAGUCAUCAAGUUGGAAUGACUAGGUGUUUAGACCCCUAUCCAGUGUGAUCCUAUUAAACCAUGCUUCUUCAUGAUAAUUUAAAAAUUAAUAAAAUAAUUGAAUGGGACUUGAUAUAUGAUAUGUAGUAAAGGAAGUAUGACUUUUAAAAAAAGUCUUAAAUCACCUUCUAAUUAAAUUAUGUAUUUAUUCAACGCUGACAAGUGCCUUAAAUAAGACUUUUAAGGCUAACACAAAAGAUAAAGCAGUUGAAUGACAGGUACCUAAGGAUUGUGAGUUUUUAUUGCGCUCAAGUAAUAUUUUCAGGUUUUACUAAUAGUUCUAAACAAUUAUAAGCCAUUUUGUAUACGAUAUGAAUAUAUUAAGCGUAUCUAAUGAUUUAAUGACAAUAGUUUUUAUGGAGGGUUCAUAAUUUAUGGUGAGCAGACAUAAAAAUUGAUAUCAAUCAUUUAGGUUUUCUAAAACUCUAAUACAUAUGGACACAAUUGUGAGGCAUAUGCAUCUCAUCUUAGCAGAAAACUGAACAUGAAAAAUGAUAUCCAGAAAACUGGUUUUUCAAUGGCUCAAAAAUUAAAUACAAAGUAUCUCCUCAUUACUUAGAAAGUUGUUAAGAACAAAAUAAAGGAAAAAGGAGACACACAGUAGGAACACAUAGUAAACCAGUAAAAUCAGUUAAGUCAAUCUGCAGCAUGUUUUCAGUUAAACAGCUUUUGAAAAAAUAAAAAUUUAACCAAAGAUAAAUUGCAAAAGCAGCUGGCUAUUUACUGUUUGAUUUUACAUAGUUGUGUCCACCUCUGUGUCAGGUGUUGUACUUGAUGGAAUGCAAAAAUGACAAACUUUGUGCAUUCUUCUGAGAUAGUUGGACAAAAGGGGGGGUUGAGAGUUGGAGCUAGUUGUAAUCUUUUGCUAAGAAGUCGAAGGAUUCAGUUUAUUGUUGUAACCUUAUUUACUUUCUAGGACCUUCAUGACCAUGUUACAUAGAAAUGGGAAGAUGAAAGAGACCAUCUUUCAUUGUUCCUUCUUUCAGGGAGACAACAUUCAGUCUUGAACUGCUAACUACUUAUCUCUUAGUCAUUCCCUUUUAUUCCUUUGGGUUUAUAGUGAAUGGAUUAAAUUUCAUUCAAUGCUUUAUCUCUCAGUGAAAUAAUGCAAUGAUUUUAUGUUGAUACGUAUGUUUAUACGGUGAGUUACACUCAUUGAUUUUUGAUUGCUAAAUCAACUUGCAUUCUUGGGAUAAACCCUACUGGUUUAUGAUAUAUUAUCCUUUUAUAUCACUGGAUUCAAUUUGCUGAUGUUAAGGAUUUUUCUGCUAUGUUCAUAAGGGAAUUGAUUUCAUUUUUUGUUUUUUGUUUUUUGGAACUUUCUUUUCUAGUUUUGUAGGAGAGUAAUAUUGGCCUUUUAGGGUGGCUUGCAAAGUGUUUGUACAACUUCUGUUUUGUGAAAGACAUUGUGCAAAAUCAGUGUUCAUUUGAAAACUUUCUGAAAAAGUGUGGGGCUAGAUUUUUCUGUAUGGGGAGGUUUUAAACGAAGAAUAUAACUGUUUCAAUAGACUUAGAAUUAUUCAGGUUAUCUAUUAAUUCUUAAGUGAGCUUUGGUAGUUUGCAUUUAUCUUGCAAAGAACCAAAGAUAUUUUCAUGUAAGUUAUCAAAUUUAGUAGCAUAAGGUUGUUUUCCUAAUAUUGCUUUACUUUCUUUUUUUGUUUGUUUAUGUAUGAGAAAGAGACAGAACGGCAGCUGGAGAGGGGCAGGAAGAGGGAGGAGACACAGAAUCUGAGCUGUCAGCAUAGAUCCUGAUGUAGGGCUCAAACCCAUGAACCGUGAGCUCCUGACCUGAGCUGAAGUCAGACACUUAACCAACUGAGCCACCCAGGCACCCCUGCCUUACUGUCUUUUAAUGUCGACUUGAUCUGUAGUAGUUUGUUCUCUCUCGUUCCUAUGUGUCUUCUCCCCUUCAUUCAUGAUUAAUCUUGCUGGAACUUUAUACUUUUAUUGAUCCUUCUGAGGAACCAGGUCUGAUUUUAUUGACAUUAACUAUUUUUUUUGUUUAAAAUUUUAUUGAUAUCUAUAUUUACUACUAUCAUUUUCCUUACUACUGCUUGUUUCAGGUUUAAUUUGUUCUUCCCUUUAUAAUUUCUUUAAAAAAUGUGUAUGUAUGUGUACAUACAGGGCUCCAUCUCAUGAACUGCGAGAUCAUGACCUAAGCCAAAAUCAAGAGUUGGAUGCUUAACUGAGUUAGCCAUCCAGGACCUCCCUUUUUAAUGUCUUAACAUGAAAGAUUAAAUCAUUUAUUUGAGCCCUUUCCUUUUUCCUAACAUACAUAUUUAAUGGUAUAAAUUUCUCACUAAGCACUCUGAGGCCCACACAUUUUGAUGUUAUAGUUAAGUUUAAUUUCAAAUAUUUUCUAAUUUCCUUUCUGAUUUCUUUUCAACCAACAGGUUAUUUAGAAGUGGGAUAAUUCUAAAUAUUGGUUAUAUUUCAGAAAUUUUUCUGUUACUAAUUUCUAGUUUAGUUCCAUUUGGUCUGAGAUCAUACUUUGUGUGACAUUUAAUUAUUUUAAGUUUAUUAAAAUCUAGUCUAUAGAGCAGGAUGUGGUCUAUUUGGGGGAAUAUUCCAUGUGUGUUUUCUAUUUUUGGCUGAGUUGACUGAUAGUGUUGUUUCCAUAUUCUUUUUAUUCAUUGACUUUUUUCCUCCACUUUUUCUAUCAAUAACCAAGAAAGAACUGUAAAAGUCUUCAACUCUACUUGUGAAUUUGCCUAUUUCUCCUUUCAGUCAUUCCAGAGUUUUUAAAUGUUGCAUUUUUGAAGAUCUUGUAUUAUAUGUAUAAAUACUUAAGAUUAUUCAAUCUUCUUAAUAAAUUGACACUUUUCUACUUACAUAAUGCCCACCUUUCUUCUUGUAAAGUAUAUUUGCUCUAAGAUCUACUUCUUAAAUAUAAAUAUGGCCAUUGCCACUGUCUUGUGGUUAAGAUUGGCACUGUUUAUUUUCCCGCCCUUUAGUUUUCAUCUGUAGAUGCUUUCAUAUUAAAAUUAGUUUAUCAUAGACAGAAUAUACUUUCAUCUUACCUUUCUAUCCCAUUGGACAAUUACUAGCGCUCAGGUAUUGUGUUAGACUAUUUGUACUCAUGCAACUGUUGACACUGUUGGGUUUGUAAGUCCACCAUUUACCAUUUCACUAGAUUCUACCUGUUGCAUGUGUUCUUGGUUCCUAGUUUCCACUUCUCUGCCCUUCUUUGGGAUUGAGCAUUUUUUAUUAUUCAUUUUUUCUCAUUUGUUUAUUACGUUUCCUUGUUUUUUAAAAUAUAUAUAGUUGUUGCUCUGGGAUUUACAACAUGCAUCUUAGUCUUAUCACAGUCUAUUUUCAUAUAAUAUUAUACCACUUAACAGGUGGUAUAAGAAUCUAUAGCAGAUUUCAAUUUCCACCAAUCCAUUCUUUGUGCCCUUUUUAUCAUUUUACUUCUACAUAUGAUCCAAAAUCUUGUUGUUAAUUCUACUACAAGUAGUCAAUUAUCUUUUUAUAUUUACCCUCAAUUUUUCUGUUUCUUGUGAUUUUGUGUGUGUAUGUUGAUCCAAAUUUUUACUGUCUUUUUAAAAAAAUUUUUUAACGUUUUAUUUAUUUUUGAGACAGGGAGAGACAGAGCAUGAACGGGGGAGGGUCAGAGAGAGGGAGACACAGAAUCUGAAACAGGCUCCAUCCAGGCUCUGAGCUGUCAGCACAGAGCCUGACGCGGGGCUCGAACUCACGGACCGCGAGAUCAUGACCUGAGCCGAAGUCGGCCGCUUAACCGACUGAGCCACCCAGGUGCCCCCCAAAUUUUUACUGUUAUGUCAUAUUCCUUCUGUAUGAAUAAUUUCCUUUAGUAGUCCUUGUAGUGCAGGUCUGCUGGAAAUGAAUUAUCUUCCCUUUUAUUUCUCUGAAAAGGUUUUAUUUCUAUUUUAUUUUAUUUUAUUUUAUUUUAUUUUAUUUUAUUUUAUAGUUUUUAAUUUGAGCGAGAGAAAGCGUGCAAGUGGGAUAGAGGGGCAGAAGGUGAGAGAGAGAGAUGAUUAUCUUGUGAAAUUUGCUAUGGGAUGUGUGAAAGGGCGGGCCUAUGCCAGCCUUCACCUUGACCACGCCUCCUCCCCUUGAGUAACCCCCCCCCCACCUGCCUAACAGGACUCGGACACUUCCCCAGCCAAUCGGCUGAGGCCACAGCCAUUACCUCACCAACUGCCCCUAGGCCCCAAUAAAACCUUUGUCCUUUUAACUGGCUCUCUCUCCCCGGUAUCUCACAGCUGCGUCCAUGCAGGUAGGGGAUUGAGCUUGAGCUAGCUCGAAUAAAGGCUCUUUUGCUUUUGCAUGGGACUCGGCUCCCUGGCGGUAUUUGGGGAUCACGAAUUCUGGGCAUAACAACGUGCUCAACACUAAAUUCUAAUUUUAUAGAUUAUCACACUUUGGCUUGUUAUUAGGGUGAGAGAGAUGUCUCUUGCAGCUUUUUACAUCUUAACUAUAAGCAGAACAAGAAGUUCAUGUUUGAGGUCUUUUAAAAAUCUAUAUAAAUAUAAUGCAAGGAUAUCUGCUAAGAGUGAAGACUGGUGGUGGUAUGGAAAAUUUUAAGAGAAUGAAAGAAGUUGAAUACAGCUAGUGCAGAUAAAGGAAGAAAAAGAAUAAUUUAGAGAAGUAUGAAAAUUUGGCAAAUUUGAAUGGAGAUGUUAUGAUGCUAAGUAUUGUCAUUUGCCAUGGGCAAUACGUAUCAUUGUGAAAUUUUCUCCAGGGUCACUCUGCAAUAAAGCCCAAGUGGGAAGGAUGAUAGCAAUAGGCACAGUGGAUUAACCCAGUUAUGAAGGUGUGUCCAGUUUGUAGGAUGGUCAAACAAACAAAACAAAAAGUUGGAGGAUACUAUUUGAAGUAAUUUAACAAUGUGUAAACUUGUUAAAGAAUUGAAGACAGGAAAUAGCUGACAAUUUGCAAGGAAAUACAGCACUCAAGUCAACGGCAGAAAUAAAAUGUGUUUCAGGAUUAUUAUAGUUUAGGAGCCAUGAGAACUGGGAGACAGUAUUCAGUGAGUGAUCCACAUAGCUGAUGUCUACCAGCUUGAUGGCAAAACAUGAAACACAUAUAAAGAAUAUGAACCAAAGGACGAAUUCUUUAGUGAAUGAGAGGAAGGAACAAGAAGGUACACACAAAAACAUAUUUUGAGGGAUACAGAAAAGUAGCGGUCUGGAAGUGCCUUAGUGAGCAUGAAAGUCACAUACACAUCCUAAUAAUGAGUUACAGGAGCAAUGGCAGAAUUAGUCAUAUAUGUUUUGCCCUCAGUGCAUAGAGGUGGAGGAAACAUUCAGAAAAGACACUGAGGAUUCCAGAGUGAUUGGUAGAAAGUUUUGGAAGGGAAGAUGGUAAUUGACAUUUGAGUCAGAGAAGGAUAAAUACAAAGAACAGGAUAAGAAUGACUGAGAGAGGUUACAUACUUGUUACAACCAAAGACCACAGUGACAUAAGGUCUGAGGGGUUUCGCAGGUUGUAUGUAGUCUUCCCGAAAUUUGUAGCUGCAACCCUUGUACAUGAGAGUCACACCCAACUUAUUCAUGGGUCUCAAUUGUUCUUAAUGGUGUUUGCUGCAAAUGGAGCCAUUUCCACAUAAAGCGGCAACGUCAAUUCAUUGAUUAAAGGCACAAGGUUCUGGUGCCAUGUGUAGGGGACUAUUUCCCUUCUUAUUUUAAAGCAGGUAAUUGUGGGUUUGCAUGCAAUCUUCUGGGUAGAGAGAAAAGUAAAGUUUUCCUGGUCUAGGAGCCAUUCUCUAUCCUUGAGAUGAUGUUGCAUAUUUUAGCAUUAAUUUUAGAACGUUUUGCCAACUAAUGUUACUCAACAUCAAAGCCAAACAUUAGUGGCAUGUCUUUCUGAGUGGUGUGCAAAUCUUUCAUGUAAUAAGGAUGGAGCACAGCAAUUACUGAGCUGCUCAGAUAUGGCAAGAUUUUGCUUUGCAGAAAUAAUAUCACGGCACCAAGAAUCCUAGAGGGGCGCCUGGUUGGCUCAGUCGGUUGAGCGUCCGACUUCGGCUCAGGUCAUGAUCUCAUGGUUCGUGGGUUCCAGCCCCCCAUCGGGCUUUGUGCUGACAGCUCAGAGCCUGGAGCCUGUUUCGGAUUCUGCGUCUCCCUCUCUCUCCGCCCCUCCCCCACUCGCGCUCUGUGUCCGUCUCAAAAAUAAAUAAACAUAAAAAAAAAAUUAAAAAAAAAAAAAAGAAUCCUGGAAACUAGAUGCCAAUUAUCCCGAACAAAUUUUAAGGAUUCAGUACAACUCAGUUAAAAUGCAAAGGAUUUUCUGUGGAAACAAAACAAGAAAAUUCUAAAGUAUUUAGGAAAUUAAGACUAGCCAAGGCAACUUUGAAGAAAAAAGAGAAUGGACUUAUUCUACCCAGCAGUGAGAUUUGUUAUAAAGCUACCACAUCAAAAUAAUCUGGAGAGAAAAGCAGACUAGUGGGUUAGAAUAAAAAAUUUAGAAAUAAGCUGAUAUAUAAAUAGACAUUUGACACAAUACAAGUGGAAUUGCAAAGCAGUGGAAAUAGAAAGACAAUUUCAAUAAAUAGUUCUACAUCAAUUGCAUACUGUUAAUGAAAAAAUAAACAGGAAAUAACUCCUAUUUUAUAACAUGCAGAAAGAUCAAGUUCAGAUUGAUUAUAGAUUUAAAUCAUAUAAGACAAGACAAAAUCAUGGAUUGGAAGAAUUAAUACUGUUCAAAUGUCCUUUUCACCUAAAGCAAUCUAUAGAGUCAAUGCAACCUCUAUCAAAAUUCCAACAGCAUCUUUUCACAGAAAGAGAAAAAAAUAAUUAAAAAAAUAUAGAAAAAUAUAUUCAGGGCUUUGAGGUAGAAAAAAAAUGUUCUUGUUCAAAAUACUUAAGUAUUACCCAUAAAGAAAAGACUAUAUUUUGAACUUAAUUAUGCUCAAGAUGCUCUAAAUAUUAAAAGCAUCCAUUCUGUUGAAAAUACCCCAAGGAAAAGCAACUGGUGACAUGAUCAUUUAAACAAAGCAUUGUUAUCUACAAGCCUGAGAGCAUGGAGAACUGAGAAUGCAAAGGUCAGCCACAGACUUGAAGAAAAUAUGUCAACACAUGUAAGGUACAAAAGGCUUGUUUUCAGAAAUACAAAUAGCUCCUACAAUUAAGAGAAUGAACACUAAUAGAAAUAUGAGAAUAGAUGUGAAUGUGUGUUUUCCAGUGAGAAUAUCCAAAAGGGCAAUAUACAUAUGAAAAAGUGUUCAAGCCCAUUAGUAACUACAGAAACGCAAAUUAAAACCAAGAUGAGUGCUUCAACACACCCACCAGGAUGACCAAAAUUACAAAGUGUUCAAACUAAGUGUUGGUAAAAAUAUGAAGCAAGGAUGCAAGUAUAAAUUUAUAAAUAUACUUUAGAAAAUUACUUGGUUAUUAUCAACUAAUGUUCAAAGUACGCACCCCCGAUUGGCCCUGGGAUUCCAUCCCCACAUACAUGCCCAACAUAGAAGUGUACGUAGUAGCCCAACAGAUAUGCACACCAUUGUUUUCAGUUAUCAGCAUUAUAUAAAAUUGCCCAAAUUGGAAAUGAUGCUGUUUCUUUUUUUUCUAAGUUUAUUUAUUUUGAGAGAGAGAGAGAGAGAGAGAGAGAGAGAGGCAGGGAGGGGCAGAGACAGAGGCAGACAGAAAGAAUCCCAAGCAGGCUCCACACUGUCAGAACAGAGCCCAACAUGGGCACAGAACCCACAAACCUUGAGAUCAUGACCUGAGCUGAAACCAAGAGUCAGAUGUUCAAUGAACUGAGUCACUCAGGCACUUCAAUGAUUCUGUUUCUUAACUAGAAUAAAUGAGAGCAUAUUCAUAUAACAUGAUACUAUAUACCAAUUAAAAUGAAUAAGCCUCUGCUUAUGGUUAAAUCUCACAAACAUACUAUCAGAUGAAAGAAGUCAACUGCAAAAAAAAGAAAAAAGAGGAAAAUAGAAGAGAAGAGGGGGAGUGGGGAGAGAGGAAGGAAGGAGGAAAAUACAUAGUACAUGAUUUCACAAAUGUAAAAUUGAAAAUAAGCAAAACUAGUCUCACCUAGUGAAUACUUUUAGGGAGAAGGGAGGUGAGAGAAAUAAAUGAGAUUUGGGGAGUGCUGGUGAUGUUCUAUUAUUUAUCUUGGGUGGGGAUUACACAAGUGUGUUUAUUAUACGAUCGUCCAUCCACCUAUACACUUAAGGUUUGCAAACUUUUCUUUCCUAAUGUUAUCUUUCAAUAAAAGUUUAACUUUAAAUAUGCAUUUCCAAAUUAUAAACUAAAUUAAAAUACAUGAGUCAGGGUUUAAUUUCUGGAGAGCUACCUAUUACCUAAUCCCUAAUUGCCCACUUUCUUUAAACAUAACUUAGAUGGUUUGUGGCUUAGCUUUCAUCAAUAGUUUUAAUUUUGUUCUUUUCUCUCCUGAUUGAAUGGAGACUCAACUGGCUUCAGUCCAAUAAGCAACUCAUUAAGGCUAAAGAUUUCCUCUGUUCUCACCAUACCUGCUACUUUACAACUCUGCUCAAUUUUAUGAAGUUAGUGACACCUUUGCUUUUUCAUCAGCUAUAUUUUUUCUUAAUGUCUUCAUAAUUAUAAUAGUGCAAUAUAAUAUUUUAACAUUUCUUCAAACCUAGCUAUAGAUAAUACCACUGACAAAUCUUUAUUGGUCAUUGAUAGGCUCCACCAACAUAUGAAAAUACAAAAUAUCCAGGUCUUAGAUAAUACAUAAAAUUUUGCAGGCAAAAAUAAUUAUAAUGAUGUGAGUGUGUAACUCACUACAGAGUCAGUUGUUGAAAAACAGAAUACAUUAAAAUUAAAUAUGCCCAGAAUCCUUUAAGUUAUUUUAUAAUAAUUUAUAUUUCAGAUAUCCAUAUGUAUGAUCUUCCUUAAGCAAUGCUUGGUCUAUAGACAUACGUUUUGUAUAUUUUUCAAAUAAUCUUAAAAAACAGUUUCUUGGGGCACCUGGCUGGCUCAGUCGAUAAACCAUGAGACUCUUGAUCUCAGGGUAAUGAAUUCAAGUCCCACCUUGGGGUAGAGUUUACUUUAAAAAAAUGGUUUUCUCUGGCCAUAAUGAAUAACUGUUAUUAUUGGGGCAUAAAGAAAAUUGAGCUGUAUUUAGUUCUUUUCCCCUUUCCUCAAAUUACUACACCUUAAUACCUUAUGUUUUCACAAAUUUAGAGUAUCAUAACUAUUUAAACAAAACUAGACAUGUUGCCAUCAUUCUCAAUAUUUUAAUAUUCAAAAAGAAGGGGUAGGGUUAUAAACUGUUUUGAACAAUGUGUGAUCCAUAGCACUCCCCUAUAAGUGUUUGCUAAAAUAAAAUAAAACAUGGUAUAAGUAAGAUAAAAUAAAAUCUUCCUUGAUAUGGUAACAUCAUAAGUUGCUUUUAGAUUCUCUGUACCUGGCAAAUAUUAAGGGUCUCUCUCUCUCUCUCUCUCUCUCUCUCUCUCUCUCUUUUAUGGGUUUCUUGGGCUCUUCAUUUUAUUAUUGCUGUUAUGAUUAUUAGAAUUUUUUUCUAGGGGCACCUGGGUAGCUCAGUCAGUUAAGCAUCCAAGUCUCGGUUUCAGCUCAGGCUAUGAUCUCACAAUUCAUGUGUUCAAGCCCCACAUUGGGUUCUGUGCUGACAGUGUGGAGCCUGCUUGAGAUUUUCUGCCUCCCUCUCUCUCUGCCCCUCCCCUGCUCACUCUCUCUCUCUCUCUCAAAAUAAAUAAAUAAACUUAAAAAAAUUGUAAGAACUUUUUCUGUAGUUAUUUAUUUUCAUCUCUUUCAUUAUGAUUUCUUCUUUUAGUUUAUAUUUUAAUUUUUUUAAUGUUUUAUUUAUCUUUCAGAGAGCAUGAGUGAUGAAGGCACAGAGAGAGGAGGGGACAGAAGACUUGAAGUGGGCUAUGCACUGAGGGUAGCAAGCCCAUUGAGGGGCUCGAACUCAUGAACCGAGAGAUCAUGACCUGAGCUUCAGUGGGACACUCAACCACCGGAGCCACCCAGACGCCCCAUUAGUUUUAUAUUUUAAAGAUCUGAUAUACUUCCUUUCCCACACACGUAUGUAUCCAUUUAGAGUAAAUAUUUAUUAUUUUGUAAUUUUAGAUUUGAUUUUUUUUCUGUCUACAUUUUUGUUGAGGGCCUGUGUUAGGGGCCAGUGAAUUUUUUCUCUGUUACUUAAAUUAUUACAGCAAUAAUAAUUUUUGCAUAUCUUCCUUCCCACGCUCACUUUCAAAUACCACAUUUACAUAUACUUCCACAAUGCCUAUUUCUUUUUCAGAGAUUUUGGAUUUAUUUCCACUGAUCAAUUUAUUUAUAACCAAGAACUAUACUAAUUUCAUUUUUGCCUUGAAUUAUAUCUUAAUAUAACUUUACUCUUUACUCUUGCAGUGUUCAAAACCUUCUAAAUUUUUUUCACCCUAUUUUUGGAUGAUUUUUAGAACCACCUGAGUCUUACAGGAUGAGUAGGAGUGACCAGAUGAACGUAGCAAGGUCCAUUUCAGGCACAGGAAGCCUUAGAUGAAAGGCAUAAUACCACAGACCAUGGAACUUUCCAUGAAUUGCAAAUGGUACAGUAUGCUUGGACUGAAUAAUUUGACAAGGUGAAUGGCACAGGUGGUGUUAGACAGAUGGUCAGAAGCAGGUCAUGUAAAAACUUAUAAGGAUUUUAUUCUAAAGAUUAUAAAGGGUUUUCAUCCAGGAGGAAACAUGAACAGAUGAGUGUUUUUAAAAAGAUCACCUUGGGGUGCCUGGGUGGCUCAGUCGGUUAAGCGGCCGACUUCGGCUCAGGUCAUGAUCUCACGGUCCGUGAGUUCGAGCCCCGAGUCAGGCUCUGUGCUGCCAGCUCAGAGCCUGGAGCCUGUUUCAGAUUCUGUGUCUCCCUCUCUCUGACCCUCCCCCAUUCAUGCUCUGUCUCUCUCUGUCUCAAAAACAAAUAAACGUUAAAAAAAAAAAAUUAAGGAAAGAGGUUGAAGAUGGCGGCGUAGGAGGACGCUGGGCUCACCGCGCGUCCUGCUGAUCACUUAGAUUCCACCUACACCUGCCUAAAUAACCCAGAAAACCGCCAGAGGAUUAGCAGAACGGAGUCGCCGGACCCAAGUGCAGACGAGAGGCCCACGGAAGAGGGUAGGAAGGGCGGCGAGGCGGUGCGCGCUACACGGACUGGCGGGAGGGAGCCGGGGCGGAGGGGCGGCUCGCCAGCCAAGCAGAGCCCCCGAGUCCGGCUUGCAAAAGCGGAGGGGCCUGACGGACUGUGUUCCGACAGCAAGCGCGACUUAGCGUCUGGGAGGUCAUAAGUUAACAGCUCUGCUCGGAAAGCGGGAAGGCUGGAGGNUAAAAAAAAAUUAAAAUAAAUAAAUAAAUAAAAAGAUCACCUUGAUAACAUAAAAAAAUGAAUCAAGUGGAGUGAAGAAUGAGACCGAGAUGCUUUUGUGAUCAACACAAGAAAUGUUAAAAGUCUAAACUAAGGCUGUGAGGCUGGAGAGAAGAAUAUAGAAGAUUUGAGAAAGUGAAAGAACAUGUAUGAGGAGGUGCAAAAAACAUGAUUUUAGUAACAACUGUAGUCAGAGGUGAAAAAGGCAAGGAGCAGAUGAGUCAAGGAUCACUUCCAAGUUUCUGUCUUGAGAUAACCGGGAAAGGUGUGCUUGUUAGAGACUGCCUAAUAACGUACCCGUAUGAGAUCCAUCAAGGCACAUAUAUGAAGAGAAAUAUGAAUUGAAGAUAUGCAAUGAAAUAUGACUAAUAGAUAGUUGUAAAUGUAUGUCAGGUGCUCAGGAGAACCAAGGAGAGUGGUGACCCACAUUUAGAGGUUACUCCAUCUACACUGAGAUCAUAGGGUUAAAUAAGAUUACUCUGAGAAAGCAAGAAAAGGCCGAAGAUGAAAACACAAAAGCACCCACAUUUAAAGAGUAAUUAGCAGAAUAAUCAUCAAUAAAGACAAUGAGGAGAAUGAGGGUCAGCAGUCAGAAAAGUAAGAAGGCAAGAAGAAAAAAAAAAGUUGUUCCUUGGAAGACAGGGAUAACAUUUCAAGGAGUAAAAGGCAGUCAUAAUUUCCAAAACUUGCUGAGCAGGGAUGAGAUAAAAAAUACAUCCAUUGGAUAUCACAUCUAGAACUUCACUGACAACUUUUUUGAGAGCAAAGUGAGGUAAAGAGACAAAGUCACUGUGUUGCAGAGAAUUGAUAGUAAUUCCAAUCAAGUAUUUAUCUAUUCUCUCAAUGUAUACUUUUGCCAGUGCUACUAUGGGUCAAGAACUGUGCUGGAUAUGGGUCUAUAGCAAUGAACAAAUCAAAUUCUCUGGCUUAGUAGAGAUGACCCUCUCCUCUGGGAAGGGAUAAAUCAUGAAGAAACAGUGAAGAGAUAAAACAUAAAUGAAAACAGAGAAGACCUUCGUGUGGAGUUUAAGGUUAGGGCUGAAAGAAGGGAAGGGGAAAGCACUAUGAAGAAGAACACUGUGGGAACAGGCUAUGGUCAGUGGCUCCCAGACAGGUGCAUGUGUGGUGGGACUGAGGCAGGAUAUGGAGCCCAGGGUGAAGAAAGGGAAGAGCUCAAGAGAUGAGGGAGAGAAGUGGGAGAGGGCUCAGUCAUGUCUGGGCCUUGAGGAGAAUUUCAUGGGGAAUUCUAAAUUUAUUCUAAGUAUGUUGAGUUGACUUAGGAAGGGUUUAAGCCAUGAUUGCACUGAUUUGCCAAAUGUUUUUUUUUUUUUUUUUUUUUAAUUUUUUUUCAACGUUUAUUUAUUUUUGGGACAGAGAGAGACAGAGCAUGAACGGGGGAGGGACAGAGAGAGAGGGAAACACAGAAUCGGAAACAGGCUCCAGGCUCUGAGCCAUCAGCCCAGAGCCCGACGCGGGGCUCGAACUCACGGACCGCGAGAUCGUGACCUGGCUGAAGUCGGACGCUUAACCGACUGCGCCACCCAGGCGCCCCUGAUUUGCCAAAUGUUAAAAGAAUCAUUCUGUUGCUCUUUGGAUAACAAAUUGUGAAAGCAAGGAUACAGAGCGAUGGUAAAAUUCUGUGCAAGUGGCUUUGCAGAAGGAAGGGGGUGGACUAGGGGGAUAGCUAGAUUGCAGUGAAAGGGAAGAGACGGGCUUAAAUCUGAGAGACCCAAGUCUAUUCAGUGGUGUAGAGGAAGAGCCUGCGGUGGAGGCAGGUGAAGACACCAUGAAGAACGUAUGAUUAAUGUCGGAAAGCUUUAUGGUGAAAGAAGGAUUCGAUUUGGGCCAAAGGAGGGAUGACUCUUCCACUGAUUUAGAAAAAAAGGAAAAGAAGGGAAGCCGAUUUAGCUAAUUUUAUAAUGGACACUCAAGAGGCUGAAAAUGUCUUUGUCUAUUAUUGGCCUCUAUUUUCUCCAUCAAAUAGGUAGGAAAUUUCAAAAAGGACAAGGAAAAAGGUCGGUGUCAAUUUUGGGAAAUGGAAAAAUUGACAUUAGAAACACAUCAAAUGGUUGCCAAGCAUUAUUAAGGCCCAGUUGAAAACUGAGGUGAUGUAUUUUAUGACACAAGCAUAAGCUUGUCAUUUGGCACAAUCAUUUAUAUGCGUUUCAAUCCUUAUACUGGGCCUUGAAAUAUUUUCCUGACAUUAAACAUGUUUGAUAGGCAUGCCCUCAAAACACUGUGUAUUGUUCUUAUCAUUGUUUUCUGUUAAUUUUUUAUUUUCCUAAAACAUGAUUUGACAGAUUAUCUUAAUGGGAUGAUGCUGAUAACUAUGAUUAUAUCAAUGUAUCACAUCCAUCACAGGAAAAAUGUUACUUAUAGAGAAGUAAAGAUAAAUGCUCUACCUUUAGAUAUCAUGUCAAAUCUCAUGAAAGAAAAUAUUUCAUGAAAAGUGUCACUGUAUACAACCUAUUGCUAAUAAACUAUGAAUGCCUGAAUUUUAUCUCUAUUACCUGAGACGCUUUAAGACUAAAUAUAAAUGUUCAUUGUGGGUAAGGGAAUUAAAAUUGCACAUUGAAUGAGUGACUGAUUUAGACAGAAAUAAUCCCAAACUAUUUAUACUUCAAGAGUCAUGGUUUAAAUAAUAAGCAUACUGGGCAGUGUUCUUAUUUUAGAAAAAAAAUAUCUUUCCGCAUAUACUCUAUUACAUUAGAAUUAUUUUCAGAAACAAGUAUUGCAUUGUAAAAUGUAAUGGAAUCAUGGAGAAAGAUGUGACCUCUGACUGAAGUACAUUUUAUUAUAAUAAUAUUUUAUACUUCUGGAAUAUUUGUUAUUUCUUAGCGCUCAGAAGGCAAGUGUAUAAGAAAAUAUCUAACCUAAUUAUUUCUAAGUGUGUACUUUUACUUUUUGCAAUAUUAUCUGAAUUAGUUUAGUGUCAAAAUUACUGCUGAUUGGGUACAUAGCUAUAUUUCACUCAACCUUAGAAACACUUUUUUUUCCAAAUUUCUCAACAACUGAACAAAUGUAAUUGGCACGAAGAUUCCAAGAGCUUCCUCACUCCCAGAUAAUUUGAUGUGCUCCACUGGCAUGCACUUAAGCUUAUGUGGAAAGCAGGGGCAGUGAUCUCCUCCUAGGGAGAAUAAAAUGAUCCAUGAUAAAGAAAUAAGGCAAGAACCACAUUUCAUUUAACAAAUAUCAAUGCAGACAGACCCUGAGUCUUAUAAAUAUCACAUUCCAGAAUAAAUUAUGUAAAUUAAAAUGUGGAUUGUAUAGUUUGUUCCACGUAUUCUUCCAUUGCCCUCAGCCUUACUCCUUUUCCAAGCCUUGGCAGCAUGUGAAAAAGCGUGGUCACAAAAUGGGUUACCAGUUAGCACCACCCAGGCUGAGAAUGUGUCUUCUACACUUCUGUAUAUUCAAGACUGGGAUUAAAUACUAAUGUAACAAAUAAGAAGGGUUUUCUCAGCCAGCCUUGGAAAGCCAGAUUAGCCUUCUCAGAAUCCAGGGAAUAACAGAUGAAAGGGAAACCCAGUCCUGGGUAGGAGUUGGAGGUAGGAUCCUAGUGAUUAUUUUUAAUGGUCUACCUAUGACCGUAUAUCCCACCUGGGGGCAUCUGCAAACACUGUUAUCUUCCCCAAAUAUACAAACCUCCAAAGUAUAUAUAUCCAAGUGAAGAAAAAUGUAGAGGUCUCUAGUUUCUGGGCAUACAAGGUGAUUUGCAGGGUUGAUGGGGUGACAGUGGGGCAAUUAGCCAGUGCAGCCACUGAGUUCUUCAGACUGUCUCCAGCAACAUUCACUGUUUGCACCUCAGAAAUUCUACUCAGGUUUUGGCGCACCAGCCUUAGACCCUAAUUUUCCUUUCUCCCUGGAAAUUGAACAUUUGAAGCUAUCUCCUACUAUUUUUCUUAAGAACAGCAUAAAUAGAUUUUACAUUUUUUAGAAAUUGAAUGUUAGGGAAUCUAAAGAAAAUCUGCAGCUUUAUUCUUCCUACCUUUGAAUCCUUUGCCCAGAGAAAGGAGAUGACCACAGGACACUAGGUCAUAUUUUUCUACACUUAACUCCCAAACUUGACAGACACAGCAAUUGAAAACCUUAGUACAGCAUCGCCCUGUGUUAUUUAUAGGAAUUUUUAAGGAUCUGUUUUCAAACAUUACCAUUUAACUAUAAAAAUUCAAGGAGUGUGUAGGAAAAUAUUUUUUUAUGUUUUAUAUUUUAUUUUUAAAAUUUUUUUAACGUUUAUUCAUUUUUUGAGAGAGAGAGAGAGACAGAGCGAGAGUGGGGGAGGGGCAGAGAGAGAGGGAGACACAGAAUCCCAAGCAAGCUGCAGGCUCUGAACUGACAGCACAGAGCCCAACACAGGGCUCAAACCCACAAACUGUGAGAUCAUGACCUAAGCGGAAGUUGGAGGCUCAACCGACUGAACCACCCAGGUGCCCCUUUUUCAUGUUUUAUUUCAUUUUUGAGAGAGAGAGAGACAGAGUGUGAGUGGGGGAGGGGCAGACAGAGAGGGAGACACAGAAUGUGAAGCAGCUCCAGGCUUCAAGCCAUCAGCACAGGGCCCAACGAUGUGGGGCUCUGGCUCAUGAACCAUGAGAUCAUGACCUGAGUCAAAGUCGUACGCUUAACCGACUGAGCUACCCAGGUGCCCCAAGGGGUGCACAGGAAAUAUUAACCGAACUUUUCUUUUUUAACUUAUUCCUACAAUCUUUCCAUUCAUUAUAUUUCCUUAUAAUGUUGUACCCAACUUCUGUAAGUAUAGCAAUAAAUCUUGAAUAUCGAUUUUAACAAGAUUUGUUCCAUAUUGAAAUAGAGAAAAAUGUAUGUUUUAAUAUUUAUCUUUCCUUAUUUUCCUUCCUUCCUUUUCUCCUUUUCUUCCUUUCUUCAUUUUAUUUUUUUCUAUCAGAGGUACCAAAAAGAUCAAGUAACUUCUCAGAAAAUAUAUUCCUUAUAAACCCGCAUAACACCGAGAACACCACGCCCCCACUGUCACCAUCAAUCACCUACUUCACAAUUUAAUAGGAUAUCACCAUUCUGUCUACUUGGAAACUUGCUGAAAAGGGAUGCAUAUACUAGUUCUAUAAAUGCUCAUAACAUUUAUAAAAAAUGUUAGAAAUGGCCAUAAAGGGCUACUCUCUCUUGUCUAUCUCUCUUGUCUAGAAUUCUGGAUUGAGUUAUAAAUUUUAAAUGCUCUCAGUGAUUAUUACUCCCUUGCCUUUUUGCCACAACUGUGAUCCAAACUAAAAUAAUGUUAAACUAUAAAAUAAGAGGAAGGAAGCCAUGCAGGUUUAGAUUUUUCUCAUAGUGACUAUAUUGAUGUGCUCUGUACUUGGGAUAUAGACGUUCCUUCAAAAAAUGUCUAGUUUUGUACUGGAUAUUAUUCUUACACUGCCAGUGUCCUAAGUGUGUGUUGAGUCUGCCUGUUGGGUUUUCUAGCACAGAUAUCAUUCUUUCAAUAUCACUGGUCUCUAGGGCUAGAGUUGGUUCAUACUUAUGAUUCUCUGCCUCCUUCUAAAUAAACCACUUCUUCACUGUUCAGAAUUAUCUUUUGUGGGUUUGUGACAUAUCUGUAGACCAAUCAGCAGAAAUUUAUUAAGCAUCCAAUAAAAGAAACACUAUAAUAGGUACUACAGGCAGGACAAGAAAAAAAAAAGGCAAUUUUUUUUAAUUUUCCCUUAGAUUUUUUUUUUAAAUUAAGUUGCUGAAAUGAUGAAGGAGAAUGGGACAAUUAAAAAUAUUGCUAAUAGUUCAGGGACAGAUGUGCUGGAUAAAAAAAAAAAAAAAGAAUGAUAAAAGCCCCAGGAUUUCAAAAGAGAGUAAAACCCAUUCUGUAUUCUGUUUCUCUUAGAGAAAUUCAGACUUGAUCCAUCUUGAGAGAUAACUAAGGUGUUUAAUAAACAAUGAAAAAAUGGACCAGAUGUUCAUGACAUCUAAAAAGUAUGGGCAAAGAGAAUGUACAUGUCUUAUUUGAAGGCUGGUAAAUGAUGAGCUGCAGUGAAGGCUUUUAAACUGUGGAUAAUGAGAGAUAAGUCUAUUAAAUGGGUUAAUUCACAUUAUAAAGGGCCUCAAGUACACUGCCAAGGAAUCUGGUAUAAUGAGGAACCACUGAAUUUUUUAAACCAGAGAAAGACACAAAUGAAGCAGUGUUUCUGGAUUGGCUUGGCAGCAAUGUGCAGUGCAUACUGGAAUCAGGAGAUCAUUUAAGUCAAAAUCUCCCCUUAGAUACCACUUGAUAAUAUGAGAGUUCUCUAUCUGAUCUAGAAUGGCAUUAUACUUCUCAACAGCAGGAACUCCUCUUGACAGCAGGUGUCAGAUCAGGAAGCUUUCCCUAAAGCUAUUGCACAUGUUCACAACUCUGAAUCGGCCAGCCACACCCAGGACACUAGACAAGAUGUUGGUCUAAGAAGAGAGUUUGCAAUUACAAACUGGUUUCCUUUCAAACUUAACCCCUGCAGUAUAUGAAGAUGCAUUUAUAGUAAGUUUUCAUACUGUGAUUGAUUCCUUUCUGGUUUCAGUACAUGGCCCAAUGUUCAUUUUCCCAAUGUUCUGAAGAGAUACUGCUUUCUGCUAUGUAUUAUCAUAGAUGCCAGUCACUUCAUGUGUUUCUCAAUUUCAUUCCACUUGGCUUUUAGAUAAAAAUCAGUUAUGAGCGUCCGUGAUAAAGAACAAUUAAAACUGUAUUCUCUCGGGGCGCCUGGGUGGCGCAGUCGGUUGGGCGUCCGACUUCAGCCAGGUCACGAUCUCGCGGUCCAUGAGUUCGAGCCCCGCGUCGGGCUCUGGGCUGAUGGCUCAGAGCCUGGAGCCUGUUUCCGAUUCUGUGUCUCCCUCUCUCUCUGCCCCUCCCCCGUUCAUGCUCUGUCUCUCUGUGUCCCCAAAAAAUAAACGUUGAAAAAAAAAUUUUUAAAAAAAUAAAACUGUAUUCUCUCAAUUAGGUUGUGUAUAAUUUUAACAAGAUUCUAGUCUUCUAAGAGUUCACGGACUUACUGAAUGGUAUUAUAUGGUAUAGUAGGUGCUAUUAACUGUUCCACAGUUUGGCUCUUCAACUUCCUAGGGACUCAAUUCCACUUACUUUCAAGCCUGCCUUGAAGUUAAAUGUUGCCAUGGAACCUGAUUAAAACCAAUAGAAUGUGAUCAGAAGUAAUGAGUGUCAUUUGAGCUAACUCCUUAAAAUUCUCGUGUAUACUUGCCAUGUUCUUCACCUCUAUGGGAAGCUACAAUGGGGAUAAUACCAAGGUUGACUUCAUAAAUCACAUACAGAGGAUAAAAUAAUCUUUAUUAACCCAGACUCCUAAUGACUUUGAGGAGAUACAUUAUCCCACUGAUGUAUCCACCUAUUGAAUACUGGUACGUGAGUAAGAAACAAACUUCUAUUGUUAAGAAAUUCUACUCUAUUCUGUUCUAUUCUAUUCCAUUCUCUUGUACAUUGGACCACUAUGCAUUUUGGGAACUAUUUGUUAAAUAGAGUUAAUCUACUAUAAUUGUACACAGACAACAAGUGGUUUGUUCUAUUGUGAACAACACAAAAAUGGCUUUAAAAGGAUGUAAAUUCAGGGGCAUCUGGGUGGCUCAGUCGGUUAAGUGUCCAACUUCAGCUCAGGUCAUGAUCUUAUCGUUUGUGGGUUCGAGCCCCAUGUCAGAUCUGUGCUGACAGCUCGGAGACUGGAGUCUUCUUAAGAUUCUGUCUUCCUCUCUCUCUGCCCUUCCCCUGAUCACACUGUCGUUCUCUCUUUCUCUCUCUCUUUCUCAAAAAUAAAAUAAACAUUAAAAGAAGGAUGUAAAUUCAUGGCAAGUUAAUUUUUUAGUAAGAGAUUUAUGGUCAGCAAAACUUUAAAAAUACAAAAAUUAAAGGGAGCCCUGACUACACAAUUUUUAAACAUUUGACAUAUAUAAAACAUAAUUGGCCAUAUUUAGAUAAGUAAUCACUGUCAAAGAUUCUUUAUUAGUUAAUGUGUUGGGUUGAAAGUAACUUUAAAAAAUACAGGGGUGUCUGGUGGCUCAGUUGAUCGAGCGGCAGAGUUCGGCUCAGGUCAUGAUCUCACGGUUCAUGAGUUCAGCCUUGCAUCGGGCUCUGUGCUAACAGCUCAGAUCCUGGAGCCUGCUUUGGAUUCUGUGUCUCCCUCUCUCUCUCUCUCUCUCGCUCUCAAAAAAGAAUAAACAUUAAAAAAAGAUAAAAUAACUUUAAAAAUAUCUAUGUGUUAUCACCAACCCCCCCUUUUUACGUUUCUUUUAACUUUUUUUUCAAACCUAAGGAAAUUCUACAAUAAUUUCUUACCAUAUUUAAAGGCAAACAUUUUAAAGAAGUUUUCUUUUUUAAAAUGUAUCAUUUAGCGAGAGAGAGAAGGAGACAGAGCACAUGAGCAGGGGAGAAGGGCAGAGGGAGAGUGAGAGAAUUUCAAGCAGGCUCCAUGCAGCAUGGAGUCUAACAUGGGGCUUGAUUCCAUGACCCUGGAAUCAUGUCCUGAGCUGAAAUCAAGAGUUAGACACUCAACUGAGCCACUAAGAAACUUUCCCUAAAGAAAGGACGUCCCUAAGGAAACUUUCUUAAUCAUGGUUUUCAAAUAUAUUUUCAUAUAUGGACCGUAUAUAUAACUUUACUUUUUAGGAGGUUAGCUACUUUGGUUAUUUGACCAGGAUUGCUUCAAAUACAUGCAGAACAUGCUACGCAUGUCACACAGUUACUUUUAGUAAGUACCCUUUCUAAAUCUGUUAAAAAAGAAACUGUCUAAGAUGCUGAAGGAAUAGUUAGGACUACAGUGGAUUUCAAAGCUACCUCCAUUUCUUUAAAUAUUAUGGUAAAAAUGUAAACUGUGUUACACAAUUAUGUUCCAUUCACAACUUCAGUCAUUAAAUUCCAUUAAUCAUCUAUUUGGAAACUAUUUGAUAGCCCCCUAUUUUCAUCUCAGGGUGAUUUCAGUGUUUUGAAAAUGUAUCUAUUCUCUCCCUGCUUUGCUUCUUUAUUGUGUACAGGUGAUGAACUUGAUGUAGAAUGGGCCUUCUGCUUAAAAAGAUAUGUUUUUAUAGGGUGUCUGACAGCUGGAAUUGAAUAAUAUCUUUUCUAAGGCAUUUUAUUAUGAAAAUUCUUUUUUAGAGUCAGCCUCACAUAAGGCUUGGCUUUUUGUUGUUGCUAGUUGGGUCUUGUUUGUUUUGGGUGAUAACUAGAGAUCACAAAUGAUGAAUUCAGUGGUCUGCAAUACUUUAAGAUCCUUACUUGGAGGCACAAGUCCAAUAUUUAAAAUUACAUUUUGAAAUGGUAGCCAAUUAAAUUGUUAACAUUAACUACAAAUGCAGUAAUAGUCUGAAUAUAUGCCUGACUCUAAGAUUUUUAUGAUAAACUCCCCUGAAAGAUUGUGUGUAUGUGUGCAUGUAUUUAUUUGCUUGUUUGUUUGAAUUGGCCUUUAUCUCAAGGAUUUUACUAUGACUUCCUCACAUUUAUUUCACCUUACAUGAAAGAUGCUUUCACAUGCAUUUCCUAGGGAAUUUUUAUUUUUCUUGUUAUUAUGUCUUAUUUGUACUACUAUCGAUUACACAAGUGAUCUAAUUAAAUAUAACUAAUAAUUAUGUUCUAAUUUCCUAUAUAUUGCUGAGGACACCUCUGCAAUACAUUGUUCAAAAUACACUGCCAAACACUAACAAUGGAGUCAUCUUAAAUGUGACUUUAAUAUCCUAUUCAUGUCACUUGAAUCCUUUUAAUGAAUUCUUAUAUACACAGUCUCAUCAGUAAUGAAUCUAAAUCAUUGUUGAUACUUGAUACUAAAGCAUUAAAAUAAUGUUACCACAACUAAGCAAUGAAUCAUUCAAUCAUCACUGAGAUUCCACCAUUCAGUACCUUAUAAUGAAAAUGUAAUUGUUCUUCCUUAGCCUAGUAUUCAUGAUAACAAACAUGAAUUCCCUAUGUCUUUCUUCUUUUUCUUUAAGUGUUAAACAUUUUUCAAUAUUUUCAUUAAAAAAAAAGAAAAUUCAAAAACAUUUCUAAAUCUCUGUUGAGGUUUUAUGCUAGGAGAGUAACUUCAGAUGAAUAAAAUCACCUUGGAAAAUGUACAAUAUUUUUGGAAUCAAAAGAAUUAUUUUAACUAUGAUUAUUUCUACUAAUUAUACACAACAUAUAUUAGGUACUAUAAAGAAAUUAACUGGUAUUUCUGGGGAAGAUGGCAGAGUAGGAAAAUCCUAAGCUCACCUUAUUCCAUUGAUACAGGUAGAUAACACUCACAUCAGUGUAAAUAGCUGAAAAAAAAAUGACUCAAAGAAUGGCAGAACAGAAUCUCCACAGUUAACUGUAAAGAAGAAGCCAUUUGAAAGAGAGUAAGAAGGGAGGAGAUGUGGUCAGGAGUCAAAUGGACCCAUGGGACUGUCCAUAGGAGUGAGGGAUCUGGCAGGAGUAGAGAGGGGAAAGUAGUAGAUCCUCAAGCACGGUACCCCAGACACAGGUCCACAUGUGGAACAAAAGUCCCUAGAACAUUUGGCAUUGAAAAUUGGUGGAGCUUAAAACCUUAAUACCUUAAUACUUCAAAAAUCAGGGGGCUCCACUCAAGGAGAGCUGGGAGGACAGAGUUCCCACCCUUAAGAUACUAUUGCAAUACUACAAAUAGACCCUUGGAAUAUAGCAUAGAAGCAGGUGUUUGAAAAAUGCUUGGGAUAUAUAGGAAGACUUAUUUACUAAUCUCAGAACAAUGUUCUGGAGGGGCAGGGAUUAUUGGGAGACCUCUCCAAGAACAUAAAAGCUGGCAGGCGCCAUUUCCCUCCUGUGCCCCCACCCUAGACACAAGGACCCCUGCAAGGACCAGCAUGGUACUAACACUUACUACCUAACCUGCCAACCCACGACCCACCCUCAUAUUCUCCGGCAGACACACCGCUCCAACCAGGCCCCAAUCCAAUUCUCCUCCCACAGCAGACCCACACAAACCUUACUAACAUUAUAUGCCCUGCCCCUGACUCUUAUGCAGCUCUGCCUACUCCAUCCAAGCCUGGGGAGUAGUUUUCCCCAGAUGCUGCGGGUCCCCGCCCACAGUAGACACUUGCGGACCUUGCUGGCACUAUACUCCCCACCCCCACAUUCUCCUGCACAACUGCCCCCUACAAAGUGCCCUUGACCAUAACCCAUCUAAAGCAGUACCACAAGCCUAGCAGUGUGCAAUUCGCCCUGACAAGGGCCAGCACCACUCCAAAGUGACUCCUGCAAUAUGCCUGAUAGAGAACUUAACAUAAUGGUCAUAAAGAUACUGGAUUUGAGAAAACAGUUUUGGACCUCAGUGAGACCCUCAAUGAAGAGGUAGAAGACAUAAAAAAGAACCAAUCAGAGAUGAAGAAGGCAAUAACCAAAAUUAAAAAUACAUUAAAGGGAAUAACUAGUGAAUUAGAGAAAGCCAAAGAAUGGAUCAGCAACCUGGAGGACACAGUAAUGGAAAGCAAUCAAAUUUAACAGGAGAAAGAGAAAAGAAUAACAAAAAAUGAGAAUAAAUUAAGGGAACUCAGUGACACCAUCAAGUGUAACAACAUUCAUUUUAUAGGGAUUCCAGAAGAAGAGAGAAAGGGGGGAAGAAAAUUUAUAUGAAAAAAAUAGUAACUGAAAAAAAUCCUAAAUCUGGAAAAGGAAACAAAUUCAGAUCCAGGAGGCACAGAAAGCCCCCAACAAAAUCAACUGAAGGAAAUCCACACCAGGACACAGUAAUAAAAAUGGCAAAAAGUGCUGAUAAAGAGAGAAUUUAAAAGCAGCAAGAGGAAAGAAAACAGAUAUAUACAAAGGUAACUCCAUAAGGCCAUCAGCAAACUUUUCAGCAAAAACUGUAGGCCAAAAGGCAAUGGCAUGAUAUAUAUGAAGUCCUGAAAGAAAAAAAAAAAAAAAACCUACAACUAAGAAUAUUCUAUCCAGCAAGGCUAUUUUUCAGAAUGGAAGGAGAGAGAAAGAGUCUUGCAGACAUACAAAAGUUAAAGGAAUUCAUGACACUAAACCAGUCUUGGAAGAAAUGUUAAAGGGGAAUCUUUGAGUGGAAAGGAAAGACCAUCACUAGGAUAAGAAAAGUAGAAAGGAUAAACGCAGUAAAAGUAAGUGUAUUUAUAAAAAUUAGUCAAGGGAUUCACAAAAUAAAAGGAUGUAAAGUAAGACACUAUAUGCCUAAAAUGUGGGGGGGGUGGAGGAAAGACUAGGCUCAAACUUAAGAGACCAUUAAAUUAAUAUACACUGGUAUAUGCACGAGAUGUUAUAUAUAAAACAUAAUGACAGAUCAAACACUGGCGAUAGAUAUGCAAAAAAUAAAGUGAAAGAAAUCCAAGUAUAUCACUAUAGAACGUGAGCAAACCAAGGGAGAGGAGAGCAAGAGAAGAAAGGAACAGAGAAGAAAUACAAAAACAACUGUAAAACAAGUAACAAACUGGUAAUAAGUACAUACCUAUCAAUAAUUAUUUUGAAUAAAAAUUAACCAAAUGCUCCAUUCAGAAGACACAGGGUGAUGGAAUGUAUAAAAAAGCAAAACCCAUCUGUAUGCUGCCUACAAGAGACUCAUUUCAGACCUAAAGACACAUGCAGAUUGAAAGUGAAGGGGUGGAAAAGCAUAUGUAAUGCAAAUGGAAGUGGAAAUAAUAGUUAUAUUAGACACAAUAAACCUUGAAACAAAUACUAUAACAAGAGAAAAAGAAGGACCUAUAUAAUCAUAAAGAGAAGAGUCCAACAAGAAAUUAUAACAACUGUAAAUACUGAUGCACCCAACAUGGAGCACUCAAAUACAUGAAGCAGUUAGUAACAAAUAUACCAGAAGUAAUUGACAGUAAUACAAUAAUAGUAGGGGACUUUAACACCCACACCCCACUGACAUCAAUGGAUAGAUCAUCCAAACAGAAAAUACACAAGGAAAUAGAGGUUUUGAAUGACACAUUGGACCAGAUGGAUCUAACAGAUGUAUUCAGAAAAUUCCAUCCUAAAACAGUAGCACACAUUCUUUUCAAGUGCACAUGGAAUAUUGUCCAGAAUAAAUCACAUGAUAGGCCACAAAAACAAGUUUCAACAAAUUAAAAGAGACUAAAGUGUCUUUUCCAAUCACAACGCUAUGAAGUUAGAAAUCCUUCACAAGAAAAAAAUUGGGAAAGAACACAAAUACAUGGAGGUUAAAUAACAUGCUACUAAACGAUGAAUAGGUCAAUCAAGAAAUCAAAGAGGAAAUCAGAAAAUACAUGGAGACAAAUGAAAAUGAAAAUGCAGUGGUUCAAAAUCCUUGGGAUGCAGCAAACACUAUGUUAAGAGGGAAGUUUAGAGCAAUCAUGCCUACAUGAAGAAGCAGGAAAAGUCUUGAGUAAAUAACCUAACUUUACACCUAAAAGAGCUAUUCAAAGAAAAAUAGACAAACCUCAAACAAGUAGAAUGAAGGAAAUAAUAAAGAUUAAAGCAGAAAUAAAUGAAACAGAAACAAAAAAAUCAAUAGAACAAAUAAAUGAAACCAGGGGCUCAUUCAUUCAACAAAUUUGAUAAAUCUUUAGCCACGAUCAUAAAAAUAGAGAGAAGGUGAGAGGGAGAGAUCUCAAAUAAACAAAAUCAGAAAUAAUAGAGGAGAAAUAACAAUCUAUACCACAGAAAUACAAAGGAUCCUAAGAGAAUAUUAUGAAAAACUAUAUGCCAACAAAUUAGACAACCUAGAAGAAAAGGAUAAACUUCUAGAAACACGAAACCUCCCCAAACUGAAAUCAGGAAGAAAUAAAAAAUUUGAACAGACCAAUUACCAGCAAUAAAAUUGCAUCAGUAAUCAAAAAAUUUCCCCUCCUCCCCGCAAAAAAGUCCAGGACCAGAUGGCUUCACAGGUGAAUUCAAACAGACAUUUUAAAAGAGUUAAUAAUCUUCUCAAACUAUUCUGAACCUAUUUCAAAAAAUAUAAGAUGAAGGAAAGCUUCCAGUUUCACUCUAUGAGGCUAGCAUUACCCAGAUACCCAAAACAGAAAAAGAUACUACAAAAAAGGGGGGAGAGGGGGGACGGCAGGCAGUUAUCUCUGAUGAACAUAGAUGCAAACAUCCUUAACAAAAUAUUAGCAAAUAAAAUCCAAUAAUACGUGAAAAAAACUUUCACCAUUAUCAGGUGGGAUAUAUUCCUGGGGUGCAAGAUUGGCUCAAUAUUCACAAAUCAAUGUGACACAUCACAUUAACAAGAGAAAGGAUGAAAACCAUAUGAUCAUUUCAGUAGAUGCAGAAAAAGAAUUUGACAAAGUAUAACAUCCAUUCAUGAUUUUUAAAAACCCAACAAAGUAGAUUUAGAGGGUACAUGCCUCAGGAUAAUAAAGGCCAUCUAUGAAAAAUCCACUGCUAACAUCACACUCCCUGGGGGGAAACUUUCCUCUCUCACCACUUUUAUUCAGCAUAGUGUUGGAAGUUCUAAGCCAUAGCAUUCAGACAGGAGAAAGAAAUAAAAUCCAGCUAAAUUGGUAAUGGGGUAGUAAAACUUUUACUAUGUGCAGAUGACAUGAUGCUAUAUAUAUAGCAAACCCUAAGGAUUCCACCAAAAAAUACUCCAACCAAAAAAAAAAAAAAAAUUAGAACUGAUAAAUGAAUUCAGUAAACUCACAAAAUAUAAAAUCAAUAUACAGAAAUCUGUUGUAUUUCUAUACAUUAAUAAUGAAGUAGCAGGAAGAGAAAUGAAGAAAAUAAUCCCACUUACAAUUACACCCAAAAUAAAAAAAUACAAGACCUAUACUCUGAAAACUAUAAAACACAGAUGAAAGAAACUGAAGAUAACAUCAAGAAAUGGAAAGACAUUCCAUGUUCAUGGCUUCCAAAACAUUUGUUAAAAUGUCUAUACUACCUAAGCAAUCUACACGCUUACUGUAAUCCCUAUCAAAAUAACAACAGCAUUUUUCACAGAAUCUUGAGAUAUGUAUGGAACCACAAAAGACCCUGAAUAGCCACAGCAGUCUUGAAAAGGAAGAACAAAACUGGAAGUAUCACAAUCCCAGACUUCAAGAUAUACCAAAAAACUGUAGUAAUCAAGACAGUAUGGUACUGGCACAACAAUGGACACAUAGACUGGAACAGAACAGAGAGCCCAGAAAUAAAUCCACAAUUAUAUGGUCAAUUAAUCCACAACAAAGUAAGCAAGAAUAAGAGAUGGGUAAAAGUCUCUUCAACAAAUGGUGCUGAGAAAACUGGAGAACUAUGAAACUGGACCACUUUCUUACUCCAUACACAAAAAUAAAUUCAAAAUGGAUUAAAGACCUAAAUGUGAGACCUGAAAAUAUAAGAUUCCUAGAAUAAAAUAUAGGCAUUAAUUUCUUUGACAUCAGCUGUAGUAACAUUUUUCUCAAUACGUCCCCUGUGGCAUGGGAAACAAAAGCAAAAUCAAACAGCUGGGACUCCCUCAAAAUAAAAACUUCUGCACAGCAAAGGAAACAAUCAACAAAACUAAAAGACAAACUACUGAAUAAGAGAAGGUAUUUGCAAAUGACAUAUCCAAUAAAGGGUUAGUGUCUAAAAUAUAUAAAGGACUUAUACAACUCAACUUGAAGAAAACAAAUAACCCUAUUUAAAAAUGGGCAGAAGACAUGAACAGAUAUUUUUCCAAAGAAGACACACAGAUGGCCAACAGACACAUGAAAAGAUGUUCAACAUCCCUCAUCAUCAGGGAAAUGCAAAUGGAAACCACAAUGAGAUGUCACCGCACACCUGUCAGAGUGGCUAGAAUCAACAAAACAAGAAACCUCAAGUGUUGGCAGAGAUGUGGAGAAAAAGAAGCUCUCAUGAGACUGUCAGUGGGGAUGCAAACUGGCAUAGCCAUGGUGAAAACAGUAUGGAGUUACCUCAGAAAGUUAAAAAUAGAAUUACCAUAUGAUCCAUUAAUUCCACUACUGGGUAAUUACCCAAAGAAUACAAAACCACUAAUUUGAAAAGAUACGAUGAGCACUUAGUAAUGCAUAGAAUUGUUGAGUCACUAUAUUUUACACCUGAAACUAAUAUAAUACUAUACAUUAAGUCUACCAGAAUUUUUAAAGAGUAGAAAAAAAGAAAUUAACUGUCCAUAGUCAGUUUUUCAUUUUUAUUCAUUUUAUGUUUUUAAAUUAAACACAUACUAUAUGAUGUUUACUGUCAGAUUUUAAAUGCUUCUACUGCAGCGCAUAUUUUAAUUUUUUUAAGUCCUUGUGACAACUCUCUGGGAUAAGCCCUAUGCUUAUGACCUUGUUAAUAUGAGAAAUCUAAGCACUGUGGUAUUAGGUACCAUGUCCAAGGGUACGUGACCACUGAAUCACUGAGUGGGGAUUCAAACACAGCCUGAGUGGACCUUAGGCUUUAACUAGUACGUUAUGCACGGUUGUCACACACUCCAAUUGUAAUUCUCUCUUAGUCAUCAAUCAAUCAGUCAAACAAUAGUAACAAAUAUCACUAUGCCGCUGUUUACUGGCAGCUUUGUUAAGUAUCUUUUCUUUGAAAACCAAAUCGAGCAACAAGAAACUUGCCCUCCCACUCUCUGUCACAAUCACAUUUGAUUUUUCCUUUGGGAUUAUCUUGUUUAUCAUUUUUAAAUUUAUUUCUUGUUUUUUUUUUUCAUGUUAGUUUUUAAAAUUUUUUAAUUGUGCUAAAGUGCACAUAAUAUAAAAUUUAGCAUGUUAACCAUUUUACAUGUACAGUUGAGUAGGUAUUUACACUAAUAUUGCAGUGUGACCAAUCUCCAGAACUCUUUUCAUCUUGCAAAAUUACGUCUCUCCAUAUCUCUCUUCCUCCAGUCCCUGGCGACUACCCUUCUACUUUGUGUCUCUAUGUUCACCCCUAAUGAACACUCGGGUUGCUUCCUGUUAUUUGUUUGUUUUGUUUUGUUUUGUGUUUUUAGGAACUUUUACUUUCCCUGUGCCUCAACAGAUGCCUAAGAAUCUCAUGGAACACAAAAUUAUACCACUAAUUAUAGGUCUCCAGUUUGGAGUCUCACAGCAUCCUGGAUAAUCUGGGGUGAAUGAGAACUAAGAUUUCUAUAAAUUACAGACAUUUAGUAAUGGUUUUAAAAGUCACAUGUAUGCUUUAAUUAAGAUUAGAAAAAGUGAGAAGAAAAUCAUGCUGUCUUUAAGAUAUUUCAUCAAUAGUAGUUUGAUAACAUAUUCUGUAUGGUUAAACAAUAACCUAGAAACCCACAUAAACCAUGAACAGACUUCCUAGUAAUAGAACUAACCAGGGGUAGGAGGAGAGUAAGUUCUGGUUCUGUAAAUUCCCAAGCUCAAUGGGUUGGAAUGAAUGUCUAAGCCUCUAUUUCCUACUUGUAACAAAUUAUGAGGGAGUGUGGGGCAAGUUGAUGGCAAAGUACAAGCUAGCACACCCUCCAUCCCCAAGUAGGACAUGUAUGAUAUUCCUCAGACAUUCCCAGCUACCCCAAAACAGGAAAGGACAAAAAAAAAAAAAAAAAAAAAAGAUUAAACUGAUGAGUCUAUAACAGUUUACCAAGAAAAGUUAAUCCCAUCAUAGCCUAAAAGCCAGGAACUCCCUACUGCAUUAAUAUUAAUGCUUACAAGAGGGAAAACAACAUUAGCUUGACAAAGUUAGGCCUCCAGUAAGUCUUUAGCAUGUGAAAGUCUCUUUGGAAGUUCCUUCUAGAUUUUAUCUCCCCCACUCCAUAAAAGGGUCACCCCCUACACUUGCUGUGCAGCUCUUCCUGCCCACAGGUACUGUCCAUGCUUUCAUAAAUCACCAUUUUGCACCAAAGAUGUCUUCAAGAAUUCUUUUUUUGGCCAUCGGCUCCGAACCCUAAGAACCUCCCACCAUCACCCCAAAACUUCAUCAAAAAAGGAGGUUGGACCAAGCUCUCCUACUUUGUGAACUGCCAUUGGUUAAUCCCUCGCUCAAAAUACACAUAGGGUGAGGUUCCCAAAGUUUCUCAGAGAGUGCUGAAACUCACCUAACAUCUCUUCUCUAGAAGAACAAAUUUUGCUUUGGCAAAACAAAGUUCUAAAUCAAAGAGAAUUUCUGCAAAACAAAUUCACACUUUGAAAAUAAAUACUUGCAGACAGGGAAUACACUGCAGACAGGCAAUGAUCAGAAAAUGAAAAGCCAUUUUGAUAUGCCUCCAUGUAAAAGGGCAUAUCCUCCAGCUUGAAAGAGAAGUGUGUUUUUCAGCAUUGCCCCACAGCUCACCACCUCUGCUUUGAGUCAGCACUCUUUUCCCAGGUGCAUCCCUUCUUCAAAGGCCACAUAUAUAUAUGUUUUGGACAUGAGCACUGGGUCAUAAUUUUCUCUGUAAUUCUAGACUUUAUUUUCAAGACGGGAAUUUUCAAGGGAGCAACUUGUGCACAGUGUGCUUUUGGAAAGUCCUAAAGGUUAAGUAGAGUAUCAAGGAAUUUGAAAGCCGAGGGACCUAUGAGUUUUCCUGACCUAACCAUUCAUCAUGAGCCUAUCAUUUGACCCCUGGGGUCCAACUAAUAUAUUGCAUAUAAAAAGUAACUUCUUUUUCUAGUUCUGGCCUCCAAUGACCUAGCAAAAAUCGGUACAGAUUUCCAACAAACAUACUCUCUUCUCUCAUGCCAUCCAGUGUUCAAUUUUCAUUUGCAUUACUCCUUGUAAUACAGAAAUAAAAGCUUUAAAAUUGGAAACUUGUAAAAUGCUUCUUCUGAAAUCCCUACUUAUUUAGCCCAGUUUAUAUCAAGUUCAUAAGAACAGGCCGGGCCCACAUGUGUCUGUCAGCAAUGUAUCCAGUUCACUUGGUUAACCCAGUUAGAUCAAAUCUGAAAGAAAGUCAAGUUGCCUUGGAAGGGAACAAAUAAAUAUAGCUGGCCCCACAUUUUGACGGGUUUUGGGUACUUGUAAAUCUCUAGCAAAUACUCUGUGAGUAUUGAGUAAAUGAAUUUAUGUCUUCAAAUCCAUUCAUAUCAUUAAAUGUACCUUUAAAGGCAAAUAUCUUAAUAGAAUGAAAAUUUCAUUUCUCAAAGUAUAGAUUUAAUCUCCCCAAAUCUCACCUUUCUCUAUGCUGCUUCUUUUCUUUGGAAUGACUCUCAGUUUUUCUCCCUGGAUACAUGUGGUUCCCCCUGUCUCUCAAAAUCACACUUAUAAAAGGAAAACAAUUUUAAGUGCAUUUCUAGGCACUUACCUGCUUAUCACCAUGCCAUUUUCCUGGAUAAUUUUCAUAAAUUUCAUCACUGAAGAAUCCUCUUUGCCAUUGACUUCUCCUUGGCCAGCUGGUGCACAGGUUAUGAUGAAACUGUCACCCUGAUUUCAUUGGAAGUCAUUCUCCUCUCAACAACUCGCAUCAUGAUCCAGCAUCUGCAGUGUGGUAGAGUCAAACACUGUAAAACACAUGCUCAUGACCAACAGAGCAAAAUUCAUGUCUUUCUGCCCAAACCAGUAUCUCCUCAGAGCGGUUCCUAUAAGCAAAGACUUAUUUCACCACCAGUGCAUGCAUGGACUCUAUGGAUACCACCUAAUUAUGAAAUGUCUGCAUGGAGAAGUUUCCAAGUUCACUAAAUAUUUAUCUUCUUGGUAUAAUAGUGAAGAAACAUCCCUUAACCUGACUGUAUAUUCCAGGGUGCUAAGGAUCAAAGACUUUUCUGAAACCAACCUAGCUUCCUGUGGUGUCUUUACAAACGGAGUCCUAAUAAAGGAGCCCUGGGAUAAUUCAGUACUUAAUUGAACCAAACAGAGUUUCAGUCAAUUAGAGAUCUACAUCAGGAAGAAAGACCAUGUAAGCCUUUUCAAAAAAACAAAAACAAAAACAAAAAAAGGCAUUCAAAUAGCUGCAAUGCUUUAAGAAGCCAUAUAUUUUUAAGUCAUUGUAAAAGAAAACUAGAUAAUUUCUGAAACUGGCCUGGAGGCUAACGCACCGUAUUGAUUUUAAGGCCCCCCUAUAUGUGAGAGAGUAUUGCUAUCACAUAAUUCUUUGGUAGUGAUUUGGCCCUUGGAUCAUCAGAAAUCACUUUAAAUGUACUUUGAGUGACAGCUCCUGGUGUUAGUUAUAAUUAUCAACAAACAAUUCCUGAAUGCUGACUAAGUAUGUUGCAAUACUAUGCUGGGAUUGCCAUUAGCUGUUUCAGACUACAGCAUUUCCAAAACAAAACCUCAUUGACAGAAUAAGCCCCCAGGAAAGAACAAACAUUUUAGCUGCUGUUUUCAUGGCAGAUUGAUACUACAUUCCUGCAUAGAUCACUGAGUGCCCUCAUUUUGCUAUAUGACAAUGACAAGCAUGUUAUGUUUUCCUUCUGAGUAAAAAUUUAAUUCCAAUUAUAAAGAAACAAAAAUGAGGGAAAGUUCGUUGACAAAUAUUGUUUAAAAUAAUUUUUUAUACAAUAUGCUUUCUAUAAAAUUAUGAUCAUUGCCAAGAACACAGAUUUAACCUUAAUACAUUCAACUGUAGGAUGAGCUAAAUUAAGGACCAGUGCAGUUUUAAUUGUUUAGGAAAAAAAAAAAACCCAGACAAACAAUAAGAAACCAAGAGAGAGGUUAGAUGAUGGAUACAAUCCAAAGAAUUUUACUAACAUCAAAAGGCGGCCUCUAGAUUUUAACAAUCCAAUUCCUAUCAGUUUUAGGUAUAACUUAUUCAACCUCUUUCUGUGUUGUUGGGGAAAAGGUGACAGAGAUAAACCUUUGGUGAUUCAAAACUUUUUAUACAAUAAACUUGAAAGUUUAUACAAAUCGCCAAAGUCACUCCAAACUUUUCCAGAUCUGACAUUCCCUAGUAAUGAACUGAACACUCUUUGUAGCAAUUAACGGGUAAAGCAUCAGUUAAGCUCUAAAGUUGUUACUAUAACCUGAGAAGACUUUAAACUCCCCCUACCAUUCACAGCUAAAAGGCCAACAAAUAAAUUACUACCUUAAUAUAUUCACUGAAAUGGCCUGCAAGAGUUAAUGGUGUUACCCAAGAGCCUAUUUUACCUUCAGAACACCUUUGUACAUAAACCAAAUCUGAUUCAAUGUGAAAAGAGUCAAUCUUACUGCAUUCCCUUAACCUAAGUGGGAACAUAUUUUUAUCCCUAUGUUGUAGACAAGGAAUUGAGACACAGGAAGGAAGUUUACUCUCAGAUGGAUAGCAACUUCAAUAGAACAGCCAAUGCUAAUAUCAGGCUUGUUAUUAAUUUGAUUCUAAAAGUCAUAUUAAAUAGCCCUGAGAGUAAAUGUACAAUGACGUUCCUGGACAAAAUUUCUGGUUGCUAGCGCACUUUGCAGUUCAUGGUUUUCACACUAGCGGUUUAUUGGUAUAACGGCAGCUAUCUUCACUCUUCUCUGCUAUGUAAUUUUUAAAACAAUCCUUGAAGGUAGGUUAUUAAAUGUGGCUACUUUUCAGUGAAUUUAAGUAUUGCUGAAAAACAAAAGUUCGAAAAUAAGUGAAGUUACAGGAAAAUUAACCAGAGUCAAAAUUUAAAUAAGAGGGCAUCAACUUUAGUGCUAGAAUAUUUUCUUUAAUAUCAAAGUCAAGAACAUUAAGGCAUAAAGUUGGGUACUUGCCUUGCCUGACAAAAUACAAGGGUUCAGUUAGUAUAUGUCUUGCUGUGGUGACUUAAAAAAGACAAGGAAUUUGGCAUAUUAGUUUGGCAUUGUCUCACAACUACCAUGCCAUCUGCACUUCAAAAUUUAAGUAAGAGUAACAGUAAUGCUGGAAAAGUUUGUGAAUAUAGUUUUGUCUUUAGAAGAGCAAACUAUGCUACUUCAUUAACGUUUUCCUCCAAAGGAGAUUUGCAAAAUACAGUUGGCAGGAUUUAAAAAAAAAAAUGCUAGGGCUGCAUUUUAAAAGUGUGGCUUUUUAAAACCACUGUAUAAAUACAGAUAAACUUUAUAUUCAUUCCUUUACUGUUUACUAACCACACAGAAAGGAAGAGUUUAAAAGCCCAGCAAGCUCUCAUAUUGCAGUUUCAGAUACCACAUUUCUCCAAGGGUAAACAGAAAUAAUUAAGGUAAUUAUUGUUUGGAUCCUCUGACAGCAAAGCACAUGUUUAUUUUAAGCAAUAGAUGUUCAAAAGAUCUUUGAAAAUGUAUGAUUCUACCUGAACCGCUUCAUAAGAAAAGAGAAAAAAAUAUAUAUCCACAGCCAGAUUUUUACAAGGCUGCCGCAGCUUUCUUGUCCAUGUAAAUAGCUUCACUGCUGAAGAGCUGAGUCAUUGUUUUUUCCAAGAGUCCUUUCUCACUAAGCAAAAGAAAACAAUAUAUUUUCCCCCAGAAGCCAAUGCGAUGUGGCCAUUAAUUAGAGUGACUAUGGAUGGCAUUUGAGACUCUACCAGUCCAAACAUUCUACAUUGUGGGUAGGGUAUCAAAUUAACCACAGUGAGAAGGCUUGGAGAGGUUCUAGCAUGCCAGCAACAUCCCCAGCCCAUUUCGGAUUGCAGAAUGAGGAAUUUGAAGGACUAUUAAACACUCUGUAAAAUGCUCACAACAGAUCAGCAUAAAGCCAUACAGUGCAGGUGUUCCUGUAAUUGGAAAAAUGCUCUGUGUUCAAUGGCCCCUCAAAUUCACCCUCGUCUCAGGCGCUCCUCUGGGUUUUACAAAGCAGUUUUAGGAAACUAACUGCUGACUGGACUCUUCCGAAGAUUUAGGCUUACACACGUUGUGCAAAGUCAAGAGAUGAGUUUUAUUUUGCAUCCACCUUUACUUAAGGAGCUGGCGUCCCUGUCACGAAGACAGGCAUGUAUGGCUCCUUUUACAAGGCUGCUUGAAAUCAAGGAUCCAGAUGCAUGAAAAAUUCACACGUGAGGAAUUAAAGAAUUCAUUAUAUGACAAAUAUAUUAUAAAUAUUAGAAACUCUUUUAUUUAUAAAACUAUUUUACCACUUUGAGGUAACUAUAUUCACAGAGGAAUCCAUACAUUAAUCCAAAGAAUAUGAUCGCAUGCUUUAUCUGAAUACUUCUUGCAUUGGCUAGAAUGUAUCGGGCUGCUGAUUUCUGUUAUUUUUACAGAAGGAUGUGCUGAUAGAAUUGUAAAGAACCAGCAAAGGAAGACUAUCUGUUGGGCAUUUAGUAGGCAGAGUGCUUUCCAUUCUUUAUGUUUUCUCCUUAGUAGUGUAAUCCCUUUGUUUGGUGGGCCAUGUUCACUGACUGCUUUAAGAAGCAUUUGCUUCUUUAGAAAAAUCGGUAAUUUGGCUGUGUUGUUAAAAGCAGUAUUGCUUGUAUUUGAAAGAAAACAUUUUCCAUCCUAAUUAUGUCUUCUCCUUUUUCAGUUGCAGGUCAUGAAUCUCUGAAACAAGAUGCUGUUUUCUUGCACAGCUAUGUGGACUCGCUUAUCUGCUUGAAAACUAAAUACCUUGUGCAGAAAGGCUUCUCGCACAGAGCAAUGGCCUUCUAUGAGAAAAUACGUCAGCACUAAACAUCUCAUUAUUAAGAAACUUCUCACCAAAUUAAUUAUUUUCUUUCAUGUAGGGCUAAUGAUACACAUGGUAGCAUGUGAAGCCCAAAUAUUCCAAAGAUCGGAACGUGGAAUAGAGAAGAUCCAUUCUAAACCUUCUUAUGUUUUCUUUCCAGAUAUUACAGAGCAAAGUCUGAGGCGAGGCUUGUGAUUCGUCAUGCUGAUGACCAAAUAUAAGCAGUGGAAGAAUUAGAUGUUAGUUUAGGUAACAAGAAAAUUAAAAUUAAAAACCUCAUUAGUUACAUAACUGAAAUGGAUCUUGUAAAGAUGGGAAAUGAGACCACCCGCACUCAACAGAACCAAAGCCAGACAAGGACUUUCAUGAGUAUUUUGAGUUCUCUUUAUAAAUUAUAUAAAAUACGACAAAUAUGAUAAAGAAUGAUGAUAAUAUAUUUGAUUUUGAUAAUAAGACUCUUCACUGGCAAGUUGUCUUUAUGGAGUAUUUGAAAUGAUCAGGAACUCUCCUUAUAGUUCAUAUGUUAUUAGUUAAUUUGGUGAAAAUGAAAGUUAAGUGGCUAAAAUAUUUCUCAAAACUGACAACAGCCAUUGGAGGAUUAAUCUACUUUGGUCAUUCUUAUCAUUAUACCAUUAGUUCAUGUACUGGUCAUUUGUUAUUAUAUAUUAUAUGUUAUAUAUAAUAUAUGCUUUCCCAUAUAAAAAUUACCUUUUAUGGAUACGGUAUCUUUCAAACAAAAUUGUGACUAUAUGGGAAUGUUUUUAUAAUACACGUGGAUGGUAUGCAUGCUUUCUAAUGACACACUGGUACAGACGUAUUGAAAGUAUAUUUAGGAACAUGUUGCACAACAAUGAAGGAUUCCAGAUUCAUUUCAUUGGUAUAGAUUUUUUUUUGUUUCAUUUUAUACUACUGUGUGUCAUUAGUUAACUGCCAUUUUCUUAUAAUUAACAAAUAUAACUUCUAAUUUUUAACUGGUAAAUUAUUGUUUUGCCUGGGUUUUCAGGUCGAGGGAUAAUUUAACAAAACAGAAUAUGGUAAAUGAGCAAACAGGUUAUAGAUAAAGAUUUCAUUAUGCAUAAGAUACUGUAGGGCACCAAUGAUAAUACAACUAUGAAUGUUAAAAUACAUCAAACUUUAAAGGAUAAGAAAAUUUCAAAUCAUUGCCCAAGUAAAGAUCUCACAAUUCUUAUAAAUCAUAAUUACAACAGCAUUUUAAAAAGGUGAAAUUAAAGGAUUAAAUGUGUGUGUGCAUGUAAUACUUUCAACAACAGACAUGCUUCAUUGGGCACAAUAGACGAAUUACUAUAUAGCUGUUUCCUUUAUCCCCCGCUCUGGUAAAUUAUUCAAAAGUUAAAUACCUGAGGGAAGAUUGCUAAUUAAAGGAAUUCGAUAAUGAAUCAUUUUGUUAAUAUAAAACUUAAUCUUCUUGUUAAACGUGGAUUUUCACUUAUAAAGUUAAUUUUAAAGUUGAUUGGAAUUGGGCACAAACAUUUGUUUAUGUGUAAUGGUGAUGGUGUGUGUUAAAGGAAGACCUCAGUAAAAUGAUACACAGAGUACCCGUCACUUAAAACCUAUGAUCAUCACAAGUGCUCUAGGUUCUGUACCACCCAAGAGAGAUUUCUCAUUCAUUAAUAGCAUACACAGGGUCAGUGCUUAACAUAUUCGCACUCUUUCAAUAAGUUUUACCAACCUUAAUCGCUAAGUCCUAUAAGCAAGACUUGAAGAAAUAAAUAGAAAGUAUAAGCCUUGCCUUCUUAAACACAUAAUUUAAAAACUUGGAAAUAACUGAAUAUUGAAAAUACAAUAGGGGAUUGGAAUAGGGCCUUUAAAAAUAAAACUAUUUGUUUAUUUUUAAUUUCAAUUGUUUCUUUAAUUUCAAUGUUUAUUCUAUUUUAUAUAUAUUAUAUAUAUACAUACACAUACAAAGGAAUAUAUGAUAAGUACAAAAUGUGUUAUGAAUGAGUUAUGUGCAUGUGUGUGAUGAGAAAUGGUGAUAAAACUGUACGUAUUAUUUUUGAACUUUCCCACUUUCCCUAAUAUUUGUGUUUUCCAUUAUUACUAUGAGAUACUGUUGAAAUACUAUUGUACCAUAUAUAUCGUAAUCUUCAGAAUAACCUUCAGAAUAUAAGAGUUAUAGAUAAAUAUAGCAGAAUAGAUAUAAUUGAGCACUAAAAAAUACUUCAUGCAUCCAAAAUAAAGCAAAAAAGUAAGCACAGAACAAAAAUAGAGGUGAGAUGAAUACAAAACAAAUACCAAGAUGGUAGACUUAAACCAAUACAUAUCAAUCACUGUAUUAACUUGAGAGACUAAGAGAAAAAUUACCAGGUGUACUCACAACUGCAAAGAAAAGAUUCUACCCCCCCCCCCCCCCCCCCCCCCCCCCCCCCGCCAUUCCCGAAACCAGCCAGGACGUGCCCGGUUGUAGUCUGACCUAAAGGUGGGAACCAAUCAAGUUCUGCUGAGCGUUCAAAUUCAAGUGUCAACCAAUAACAGCUCUGUAACCUCAAAAAAAUCCCUAACUUGUUUGUGCCUGUCUAUAAAAGAAGCUGUAAGAUCCUUGCUCAGGGCCUCUUAGCGUCACUGUCACCGGCAACGAGUGCGCGGAGGACUGGGUUCGAACCUGCAAUAAAC
RNAcentral lists this long non-coding RNA (52015 nucleotides) under Lynx pardinus (Iberian lynx). The stretch from base 20836 to 20920 matches the Rfam family "tRNA". The record is from RNAcentral. Lineage: Eukaryota; Metazoa; Chordata; Mammalia; Carnivora; Felidae.